This 56803-nucleotide long non-coding RNA is filed under the name Citrus maxima (pomelo). RNAcentral's name for it is "long non-coding RNA (CMAX_LNC000731)". The stretch from base 46741 to 46877 matches the Rfam family "Small nucleolar RNA Z247". Lineage: Eukaryota; Viridiplantae; Streptophyta; Magnoliopsida; Sapindales; Rutaceae. The record is from RNAcentral.
GGACAGAGUAAACAAGAGAGGGAAUUUGAUACCUCGUUGAUUGCCUUUUCAUAGCCCAAUCUCAGUGAUGCAAUUGCCAUAUGCCGAAUUCUUAGUCGUGAAUCUGCCAAAAUCUUGUUGUUUGCUUUUCCAUCAAGUUUCAAGCAGUUAGUAAACUCAAAACAAAUUGCUGCUGACUCCAGAGAUUGAAUAAGGUCAGGAGAGGGUUUCGAUAACUUUUCGAGUACGGAUGCAUCUAGUUCUUGUAGACAUGACGGAAUCUCUGGCAAAGAUUGAAGCCGCUUGCAGUUCCUUGCUUUUAGUGAUUGUAGACACAAUGGAAGUUCUGGUAAUGACCGAAGCAUGUUACAACCCGUCAAGUCAAGAGAUUCAAGACACAAUGGAAGUUCUGGUAAUGACUGAAGCAUCUUACAACGCUCCAAGUGAAGAGACCUCAGCCGCGACAGUUGCUUGAUACUUGCAGGUAAACUCUCAAAGUUAUUUCCACUUAGAUGCAAGCCUGUCAGUGAGGAUAGACAGGCAAUCUCUUGUGGAAUUUCCAUUACAGCACAGUUCCUUAUAUUUAGACGUCCCAAAGAAGAUAAACCUAAUAAUAAUGAUCGAGGCAAUGAUACCAAACCUUUGCAUCUAGAGAACUCAAGAAUUCUAAGUACGUUUGAAUCUGCAACAGAGGAUGGUAGUUGACUAAUAGCUGAUCCAGCUGCACAGAUGUAACGCAAAGAUUUUAAAUUGCCAAUGUUAUCCGGCAACUUAUCAAGUUUAGAGCAAUCUUCUACGAACAAUACUUCAAGUCCCGGUAGAUUUUCAAAUGACGAUGGCAGCUCUGUAAUUGCCGUAUGGCCUAAAUAGAUGCGUUUUAAAUGUUCCAUUUUCUCCAAGAUUUCUGGGAAACGCUCAAGGUUCACGCAGCCAUUAAGAAAAAGAUCAACCAACGAUCUCAAUUUACAAAACCCAGUUGAAAUCAUCUUCAGCCGUUUGCAAUCCCUCAAAUCCAACACUAUAAGAUCAGUUAGGCACUCUAUUGAUGAUGGAACUUCUUCUAUUGCAGACUGGAUUAAGUAUAGCCGUGUAAUUUUCCCAGAAAUCUGUGGAAACUCUACGAGAUUAACACAAUAGGAGAAAUUAAUAGUUACUGGACAAACAAAAUGAAGAUUGGUUGGAAAAGACCUAAGACUUUUGCAGCCCAUAAAAUCCAACCUACUGAGAUACUUGAAAUUCUGGAUAGAUGAGGGAACACAAGCCUUUUCUCCUUCCCAAAGUUGCUCAACUUUACUUAAACGCAAAUUCAGUUGAACGAGGUUCUUUGGCUUGAAAUUUGAUGGCAGUGUCCUUAAUGGAUAUGUGUCCCAAUGAAGAUAUCUCAAUUUUUUAGGAAGAUAAUCUAGACCAUUUGGAAGCUGCACUUUAGAGUAUGAAAGUUGCUCUUCAAUGAUCAUACUUAGAAACCUUUCAAUCCCAUAAAACUUAGGUACAUAAAAUUUGAGCAAUCUCAUACUAGACAUAUUUGUGAAGGUUCCGGGGUCUAAAUUAAUGCCUUUUAUUUUGGACAAAUCCAGAAAUAUGCCUUCAAUUGCAUCGGUCCCCUUAUUAAAAAAAAAACAAAGAAUGAGUAAUCCUAAAACAGAAAAGAAACAUUCGUAAACUUUAUUAACUAAGAGCUCCUUAAACAAAAACAAAUUCUGCAAUCUUUGAUUUUAUUUUUUUAAUAUAUUAAAUAUCUAUAUGCGAGAAAAGAAAAUUUUGGGGGCCAUUGCAAAAUUAAACUAACCGAAAAAAAAAAUUCAAAAUUUCUCUAAUUUACAAACCUGUUAUCUUAAUAUCUAGAAGUUGAGAAGACAAGGCCUAUUUGAUUGGUAUAAGAUUUCAAUUUUUUUUUUUUUUUUUUUUUUUUUUUGUCGAUAGAAUCCAAAAUGUUAGUUCAAAAUUAGGGAAAAAAAUGAAAGUCAUUUUUUUUUCCACUAGCUGUAAUUGUAUCCAAGUCAAAUUGAGAUACAACCCUUUUUGAAAGAAUUUAACCAUCUUACAACCUCCUUAAGGUACAUUUAAGAUAAAAGGAGUGAUUGGAGGCAGAACUAGGUGGGCCAAUCAGUCCAUUUUAUUAGCGACUGUUGCUUAAAAAAAAUUAUACUCUAAAACACACUUACAUUUUUGAAAAAAUAUAUAAUUAUAUUGAAGUAGAACCAGGUGGGCCAACCCUCAUGGCACUCACUUUGUUCUGACACUUUUCACUAAAUUUGAAGAAAAAUAAAAUUAUACUCUUCACACUCUUAUUCAACAUUCCAAAUUUGAUAAAAUCGGGAGUUUUCUUUAAAAAUUUAAAAUUUGAAGACUUGUUCUCUUGACACCCUCAGUCAUUAAUUUUACCUAAUUAUGGGUUUUAUGAUUUUGGUUGUUUUGUUCAUAAAAAUGCUUUUACUAAAGGAUGUUCUGGUAAUAAUAAAAUUUAUAAAAAAAACAUGGGUGUGCUGGUAUGGUUGGAAAAAUAUGAGUGCAUAACUCCAAACAAAUAAAAGAUAUAUAUAAAAAAAAAUGGAGGAUUCUUACCUUAUUAUGCUUGAGUACGCGGCGGAUUUCCUUAGGAUCCCACAACCUGCUGCGUUUGCCUGGCUCUUUCUCAGAUUCUUGGCGAACAAUCCGUCGCCCCAUUUCUUGCAAUAAAAUCAUGCAUUUGCAAGCAAUUCCCUGAUACUGAUAUGAGUGACUUAUCAAUAAGGACAUUCACGUCAUUCAGUCCAUAAGACUUAGAAUCAUCAAGUAUCCUUAUCACAAAAUCUUUAUCCUCUCCCUCAAAGAAACAAGCAAUAUCUAGAAAUACACUCUUGACAUUGGGCGUUAAUUCAUUAAAACUAAUCUUUAAUAUAUCAUACAUAUUAUGAAUAUCAGAUUCACAAAUCCGAUUUAAGUCGUCCAAUACGUUUCCCCAAUGGCUUUUCCUCUUGAGGGAGGAACCCAACACUUUAAGAACUAAUGGAUUGCCAUCAGCAUACUUUACAACUCUCCGUGACUCACGUUUGAAAUCUUCAGGACAAUGCUUUUCUUUAAAAGCGAAGUUACAAAAAUGCUCGAAAGCCUCAUCAAAUUUCAAUCCAUUAACCCUAUAUAUUUUCUCCACUGGAAACGUCUCGAGGACAUGUUUAUUCCUAGUGGUGAUGACAAUUCUACUUCCUGGACCAUACUGAUCAAGCCCUCCAAUCAAACCCUCUAAUUGUCCAUCUUUACUCACAUCAUCAAGCACAAUCAACACCUUCAUGCGUCGGACCCUCUCUUUAGUAAAUUGUGGAAUAUUGGGACCAUCUACUUUAAGUUUUUCUCUUAAUAUCCUUGAAAGAAUUUGCUUUUGUAGAUCUUCUAAUCCAUCCCCUCGUUCUAUAUUUCUCCUAACAUCUGACAUAAAGCACCUACCUUCAAACUCUCUGGAGAAUUGAUUGAAAAUAGCUGUGGCAAGGGUGGUUUUGCCUAUACCACCCAUGCCCCAAAUUCCAACAAUUUGGACAGUAUCCCACAAAUCCAUGCACAGAAAUGGUUUAAUCUGCUCAAUUCGUGAAUUUAAUCCAACUAGGCCAUUGGAUGAGUCCGUUGAGACUGUUAUUUUUUCCAUCUUCUUCAAAACAUCUUCGACAAUUUUGCUUACAAGUUGCGCAUCAUGCCUAAUAUGAAGGUGCAAAGAUGCAAAAACAUUGAGUCAAAUCGGGCCAACACAGAAACAGAGAUAAGAUGAAUUAGGAAAGAGAGUUACCUGAAUUUCGUGGAUUCGUGGCCAGCUAGAUGGGAUGUUUCUUUCAGUGCAUCCCUCCACUUCUGAACCAUUUCUGGCUUCUCUUUGAACUGUUGUUCGAGCUUAUCAAAACCGUGCCCAAAAAUUCCAGCUUGAUGCCGAACAUCGGACGGACUUACGCUAUAGAAAACUGGAAUAACGAUUUGGCCGUUUGUGUGCUUGCAUUCAAGAAUCUUGACAAGUUCAUUCAGGCACCAUUUUGAAGAAGCGUAGUCCUUUGAGAAAAUGACGACCGAAAUUUUCGAACCUUCGAUUGCGUUCAAAAGAGCAGGUGAAAUCUCAUCUCCUCGCCUAAGCUCUUCAUCAUCAAUAAACGUUUUGAUUUUCGUUCUUUCAUUCAAAUUAUAAUAGAGAUGGCAUGUAAAGCUCACGCGAGUGUCCUCUCCUCUGAAACUGAGGAAUACAUCAUAAUUGCAACAAGAAGAAGAGGAAGCCAUGAAGGAAAUUUUAGAAAUUUGGUGACAGAAACAGAGAAUUAAUCUUGAGAGUUGAGAGGGGAUAUGUAAGAAUGAAAAUGCGUAAAUAGUAAAUGAUUGAAUUAAUCUGGCGAGUAAAUAGUAAAUAAUUGAAUGGCCGGAGCUUUCUUAGUUUCCUGGAAAUUUCCUGGAGCUUUCGUAUACAUGAUUUGUCAAGUCAAGAAACAUAAUCAUGAUAAUGGGGCAGACCAGGAAGGAAAGAAAAUUUGAUCCAACCAAUAAAGGAAGGAAAAGUAAAGAAAGAAAAUUUGAAAGUAGAUUCAGAGAAUUAUAAAAAGCUAAAGGAUAUUGGAAUUUUGUACAAUUUCUCUAUUACAGUUUGGAUUAAGAUUUGAGCAAGCGGCCAAAACUACAUUGCGUCAGGGCUUUGGUGCCACACUCGUUUGUCUGUUAGUAGCAUUGGAUUUGAUCUGACGGCUGCAGAAGAGACACAAACAUAAAGAGGAGUAACCUGAGGAAAAGGUAAUAAGCCGGUUACCUGCAGAAAAUAAGUGCAUGAUAAAAUAACACAAGUAAUGAACACAAUGGAAGCGUAUAUGCAAGUAAUGGUUGGAAACAACUUGCUGGAAGCGUGCAAGUAUUGGUUGGGCACAGACCGACAUUAAAUUUCGCAAAUAGUGUCUGAAACAUUUGCAAAUACUUAAUUCAAAACGUCAAUAAAUGCUGGAAAAAAUACAUAUUUUUUUAUUUUUUAUUAAGAAUACAUUUAAAAAAAGAAUAAUUAUUAAUGGUACAUAUUUGUAACAAUUAUACCAAAAACAAUUAUCCAUAUAUUUAAAAAAAAUGUUAACAAUACAUAUUUUUUAGAAGUAUACAUAUUAUAUCAUAAAAAAAUUGAGUUGGAGCUUCGACAAGUAGAUCUUAAAAAACUAAGGUUGAAUUUUGGAGGAGCAGAUUCGGUCGUGGAGUAACAUUUGUUUAUUAUUAUUAAUUUAUUUUGGUAGUCCUAGUGAAACAUCGUUGUUUCACAUAGAUGAUGUCGCAGUUUGAUAGACGGGAUGACAUGUGAUUUUUUAUCAAAUAUAUCGGGCCACAUGGCAUUUUUGACUAGGUGAAUGGAGUGACAUGUUAAUUUUUUUUUUUUUUAAUCAAAGGUUCUUCUAUCUUAGAAGACUAGAUUAGCCUUAUGAUGUCAAGACUUGGAAACGACAACUAACUGACUAGUGGAUAGCAGACACAUGUUGUCAACUUAGGGUAUACAAGGAUACAUGUUAAAAGUAUUGUAGUAUAUGUGAUACAAGUGUCAUGGAAGGCUAUAUGAGUGAUAAUUACUCAUUAAACUAUAAGUUGCAAUAAUUUAACACAACAAGUGCCAAUUAAAAUGUAAUAAUUUAAAAAAAAUUAGGUAUUCUCCGUCUGUCUCCCUCUCAAUCAAUGUGUCCUACUUUGAAUGUUAAUAUUUAUUAUCAAACAUAAAAAAAUUCUAAAAUAUUAAAAAAAAAAAACAGAGUCUUCUAGGCACAUAAAUUAGAGUAGUUUCGUGAACAAAGAACUUGAGAAAGAUAAUGGUGGCACUCUCUUAGAAGGAAUCUAUGGGGUUAAUGUUUUCUUCCCUAUGUCUAUUUUAUGUAUCUUAGUUUCAAAAACAAGAUGUACACAAUUAGGGGUUGGUUAAUGCAGUUAAAACGGUGGAAAAAGGCUUAUAGAAAUAAAAUAUAAUUGUAAUGCAGUGUUUGGUAUGAAUAAGUAAACUAAAAAUAAGACAAUUGGGUAUACGAAUUUAUAAUGCGAUAAUAAUAUUUUUUCCCUAAGACGACCCGUAGGGUAAGAUUAUAGACUAAAUUGUUGUGUUAUGUUAAUGAUACGAUAUAAAAGUGUUGUUUUAGAAGCUGUAAAAGUUAGUUAAUGUGAAAUUUGUUUUUAAAGGUAAUUGUCUUGUAACCCCUUGUUUUUAAGGGUAAGAUUAUAGACGCAAUUUGUUUGUUUUGAAAAAAAGUCCCUUAUGUUGAGCUGGACUUUUUUUCGUCUUCACAAGUCCCUUUUGCCGAGCUGGAAUUUUUCUGACAGAGUCUCCGUUUGUUCCCAUAAUAGCGGCGAGAAUCUGGCCGAGCCUCGAUGAUAGCUCGUUGCUACGACACGUGACUGUGUCCAUUGAGUCUCUAUUCGAAAUCCAAAUGUCGACGACAACGGCCGCCUCCACUAACGGUUCUCAAAUCACGCCGUGCGUUGAUGACGUGGCGGUGGCAAUUAACAACAAUAACUUCAACUCGAAGGAGAGAUUCAACGACCGUGAUUUUUUGUUGAAGCAGUCGUAUUCGUUUGGAUUCGAGCGGAGUCUUGCAUCGAAGAGGAUGGUGAUGGAGGCGGUAAUGGCGUUGCCGUGGAAGUACAAGAGGGGGAGUUACUGGAGCAAACAGUCGUCUCCGUUUGGCUCAUUGACGAAGUCUAGAGUCUUCUGGAGCAAAGGAUUAUAUACUUAUCCUCUUUGUUUUCCUUUUACUGAUACUGUAGCUUUAGCCGAUUACCCAUUUUCCAAGUGUUAAACAUGAGCCGUUGUUACCUUUCUUUACUAUCUAAAUGGUCAUUCGCAAAAGGACAAAUGACUAGGGUAUCAAACCCCUUACGCAAUGUAGCUGGACCCUUAGCAAAGCAUUCACCUAAAUCUUACCUCCGCUGUAAAUUCUUAAGUUUUGAAAAUUAUGAGACCUUUAUAUUGGGAGAUAUUAUAAUCAAAUGAAAAGUUAAAAUUUUAAUAUUGUUAAUAAAUGACAAAGCCAUUUCAUUUCUCUUUUACAUGUUAUUAAUUUUUGUAACACGGGGUGGCAACAUAAGCAUAAUCAAGUAAAGCAAAAGGGUUUCAAAUUAUGGUGGUAAAACGUGAAGAAGGAUGCCAACUGAAUAAUUCCUUCCACAAAACGAAAAAUAAUCACAGAAAAAGGAAUCUCUUAUAAAAUGUUUGCGUAUUUUUUAUAAGGUUUGAAACUUUAGGUGGUCGGUAAAUGAUUUCUUAAUUGAAUAAUAUAUAAAAAAGCUAAUUAUUUAUAAUUUUAAAUAAUCUGAAUUUGUAUGUUAGAAAUUUCAUCUCUUUUAUUUUUGAGAAUUUUUCAUAAAGAAUAGAGAACAUAAUGUUAACAUUUAAAGUAACACAUCUCAAUCGUCGAAAUUAUUUUUCUAUUAAAUCCAACGAUAACGAAUUAAUGUCAGAAAAGGACAAAAUUAGUGGUGGCUUGCAAUAAUUGCAAGGUAGCUUUUGUAAAGACAGAAAUGUGAUGGAUUCAAAAAGAAAUUGAAGUGAUAAUGUACGUGGAUCCUUAAAAUAAAAAGCCGAAUCGCUUGGUGGCCCAGUAAAAUUACGAUUUGAAUUUUUUUUUUUUUUUUUUUUACACAAUGUGUCAAGCACAUAAAUGACGAAAGCCAUUUCAUUUCCCUUUCACACGUCAUUAACUUUUGUAACACGGUGUGUUCAUCGUCAAGUGAGGCAAAAGGGUUUCCAUUACAGUGGGAAAACAUGAACAAGAAUGCAUAAUGAAUAAUUCCUUCGAUAAAGCGAAAAUUAAACAUAAAAUAAUCCUAAAAUUUAAACUCUAAUAUCCUUCGAUAAUGUAUUGAUUAAAAAUAAUCCUAAGAGUUUCCAAUUGAAACUUCCGUAAGUAUUUUUAUUGUUUUGGAUAAACAAAUUGCACUAGGAUAAAAAUUUGGUAAAUUCAGAGGAUAAUAGAAAAUAGCUAUGGUUCAAUAGGCCAAAGAUUAGAGAACAAACAAGAAUUAGUUAUUGAUAUACAAAAGAGAAACACUCCAAAAUUUCAAGCAAAAAUAGUUUCAUAUACCAUUUCGAUUUUGGAAGGGGUGAGGUUUUGAAAUUCAAUAGUUUCCUCUAAAAUCAAAAGGCAGCAAUUAAGUUAGAAAGAGCAAAGAAGACUUAUUGGUACCUUAUUGAAGCUGAACAUUAUGGAACUUUCAAUGUCAUUACCUCACUGUUCAAUUUUUAUUGAGAUUUGUGCAAGCAUUUACCUAAAUUUUACCUCCGCCUGUAAAUUCAUAAGUUUUGAAAAUUUUGAGACGUUAUAUUGGGAGAUAUUAUAAUCGAACUAAAACUUAAAAUUUCAAUAUUAUUAUUCUUUGAAAAAAAAAUGAGAUAUCAGAGUAAUAUCACAUAGAAUGGUAAGCCAAAAGUCUAAUCAACCACAUGCAUAAAGCUAACUAGAACAAGUGAACAGAGAAACGCGUGGGUCCCUAAAAGAAAAGGCAAGCACAUAAAGAAAACGGAAAACAAACGCCAGAGAAAAGAAUUUCUUAUAUGCCUUGAUAUUGAUUAAUAUUCAGCGAUAGCUUAAUGCUUACCAUCAAGCAACUUUGAAAGCAGGAAGCUAUAUAUGACAAGAAAUCAAAGUAAUGUGAAGGAACAUGAUGAUGAAAUUGCAGGCCAGCACAAAAACACCCAUACCCCUGAUUUGUUUAAAUGUACACGAAGACCUUAAGGUUUGGUAAAAGAAAAUUGAAUUUAUAUUGUAUUAUAAUACAAUUUUUUUUAAACCAUCAAUGAUAAAAUCUUCUUACUUUUUUCCAUCCUUUGGAUCAAUAAGUACAAAUUUCUCAUCUAAAUCUUCAUACUUUUUACAAAUGACUUUUGUGCCAUAGAUUUUUUUUUUCUUUUUUUGGUUUUGCCGAAAAAACAAAACAAAUUCAUAAACAACAUUGUAUUUCACCAAUUAACAGUGCAAGUGUCAUUAUAGUUUCCACAUUUUAGUUCUGUUUUUUUUAGUUUCAUUUUCUUUCUGUUAUGUAACUGAUGUUUCAUUGCUAUAAAAUUAAUUGUCUGUUUCUCUUCACAACUGUUAUUUUGAAUGAUUUUUUCUGAAUUUUAUAAACAAUUUGUAUAUGACAGGAAAUGAAGCAGAGUGCGAGCAACUUGUAUGGAUUCCUAAAAGGUCUGGUCAGAGUGUUCCUUUCAAUGCAUACAUCUGGCGGCGAGGGACUAUUCCAAUAUGGUGGGGUGCAGAAUUAAAGCUUACUGCUGCUGAAGCAGAAAUUUAUGUUGCAGAUCGGGAUCCUUAUAAAGGAAGUCUGCAGUAUUAUCAGAGGUUGAGUAAUCGAUAUGAUGCUCGAAACUUUGACUUAGCUGUUGGGGAAAAUCAGAAGAAAAAGCCUUUUAUUCCAAUUGUAUGCAUUAACUUGCUUAGGAAUGCGGAAGGGAAAUCAGAAUCUAUUUUAGUUCAGCAUUUUGAGGAAUCUUUGAACUAUGUCAGAUCAACUGGAAAACUUCCUUAUACUCGAAUUAUUUUAAUAAAUUAUGACUGGCAUGCCAGUACAAAAUUAAAAGGUGAACAACUUACAAUUGAAGGAUUAUGGAAGCAUCUAAAAGCACCCACUCAGGCCGUAGGCAUUUCUGAAGGGGACUAUUUGCCAUCACGGCAACGACUUAAUGAUUGCCGAGGUGAAGUCAUCUGCAAUGAUGACUUUGUGGGUGCCUUUUGCUUAAGAUCCCAUCAGAAUGGAGUGAUACGCUUUAACUGUGCAGACUCUCUUGAUCGGACCAAUGCUGCUAGUUAUUUUGGUGCUCUGCAAGUAUUUGUGGAGCAAUGUAGGCGGCUUGGGGUCUCCCUUGACAGUGAUUUUGCAUAUGGCUAUCAGUCAGCUAAUAACUAUGGUGGAUAUACUGCUCCUUUGCCACGAGGAUGGGAGAAACGAGCUGAUGCAGUGACAGGAAAAACAUAUUAUAUCGAUCACAACACUAGGACCACAACAUGGAUUCAUCCAUGCCCAGACAAACCUUGGAAGAGAUUUGAUAUGACAUUUGAGGAGUUCAAGCAUUCAACAAUUUUAUCACCAGUGUCUCAGCUAGCAGAUCUUUUUCUGCUUUCUGGUGAUAUCCAUGCAACCCUUUAUACUGGUUCAAAAGCAAUGCAUAGCCAAAUUCUUAAUAUAUUCAAUGAAGAACCAGGAAAGUUCAAACAAUUUUCUGCAGCACAAAAUAUGAAAAUUACUCUGCAGAGAAGAUACAAAAAUGCAGUUGUCGAUAGCUCUCGUCAGAAACAGCUGGAGAUGUUUCUUGGAUUUAGGCUGUUCAGUUCAUUUUUUUGUGGUAGAAAUGUCGUCAUUUUAAAUUUAGUGUAUUUUCAAAAAGCUUAUUUUCUCAGAAUAUAAAAAAUAAAAAAAUAAAAAAAGAAUUCUUACAUGUUUCAUCAGCAUGAUUAAAAUCGAAGAAGAAAGCGAGACAUAAUGUCUCUGACAUAAUAAAAUUACAAAAAUUUCAAGGAAAAAAAAGAAGUUAAAACAUGUAAUCUUCAGAAGCAUAUAAUAAAAGAGCACUUCCACAAAUUACUACAAUUUCAUGCAGUAGAGAUUGAAGAGUUGAAUUCCACUUAUAGACACCGACCUCUUGUUUUGUCUAAUGUUAAAAUUACAACCUCUUGCUUUGACUUAUUAGCAGGUUUCAAAAGUAAUAAGGAAUACAUAGAUAAAACAUCAUCUUAAACAAAUCACAAUCUAGAAUUAGAGCAUUUUCGACAUACCUAAGGACCACGAAUACGUGAAAACGGGUGACUCAUUUGUUAAGAAGUGUUGAUUUGAUCGGCUCUGCAAAUUCUCUUGGGACUCGGUUCCAAUUCCUCUUCAUCCGAAGUUCCACUCGCGCUUGGAAAAUCAUCCAAUUUCCAAACUUCGGUAGCAAAAUUGAGAGUAAAAGUGUUGGCUUUGAUCUCGCUGGGAUUUGCAUAUACUGGACAUACUCCGUAACGUUUUAUCUUGCAAUCCUUUUGGCUUCGGUAACACUUAUUGAAGAACUUAAGUGAGACAGUUGUAUGAUGGUAACCAUCGGGAAAGCCAACAUUCAAGCAAGGUUUAAAACCAAGUAUGACAUGAUCGGAAUCAAGGGAGUAUCUAGUGGGCAAAUCGAAACCCAGAUCAACAUGUUUGGUUUCAGAGAGAGUCUUUAUUUCUAAGUCGAAUUGACGGUAGAAGUAAAAAUCACACAUACAACGAGAAUAAACUUUCUUAAAAUCAAGAACAGCACAAAAAGCAAACCCGAUUAAGUUUCUGAAAAAAGAGUGCGGUGGCAGUUGAAUAUAUAUCGAAGAUCCUGAACUUUGAUUGCUGAACCAGUCAGGAAUUUCGCCCCCAGGUAAAACAAUUAGGGAUCCCCUGAGUUCUGAAAGUUUCUGUGAAAUGACAUUUAAAAAAAGAAAAUUGUAAAAUGAAAACCAUGAUUUCAGAUAGGGAUAUUAUCAUUUUUCCACCAAAGGUAUUCUGACACAUCAUGUCAGUACCACGGUUUGGUAAAACUAUCAAUUUACCACCAAACGUUUAAACUGUUAGGAUUUUCCCACUAUUCCGUUAAAACUCAGUUAAUAUGUAACGGAAAAUUUCUAAAAAGUCAAUUUUACCCCUGGAGCAUAAAAGACCAUAUAAUUAACUUUUUAUGAAUUUUGUAAUUAAAUCAUCAUUUGUUGUUCUUCCUUCUUAAAGGACAAAAAUUACCCUUUAUAAAUUUUAUAAAAUUGGCCGUGUAGUGCUAGGUACUUCAUAAAUUAAUUUAAUUUUUAAAGGGCAAAUUUAUUUAUUAAAUUGAUGAGCUCAAGACAAUUUAUUCUACUACUAAAAAUCAAUUUAUGAAAGGGAAAAAAAAAAGAAUGUGCAAACGAAGUAAUUUAAUCUUUGAUAUGAUGAUAAUAAUUUUACACAAAAAAUUAAAUAAAUAAAUUUUCCCUUUAAAAAUUAAAUAAAUUAAAUCAAUUUAUGAAGUACCAAAUACCACACGGUCAAUUUUACAAAAUUCAUAAAUGGUAAUUUUUGUCGUUUAAGAAUAAAGAAUAACAAAUGAUGAUUUAAUUACAAAAUUCAUAAAAGGUUAAUUAUAUGGUCUUUUAUGCUCAGGGGUAAAAUUGACCUUUUAGGAAUUUUCCGUUAGAUAUUAACUGAGUUUUAACGGAAUGGUGGGAAAAUGCUAACAGUUUAAACGUUUGGUGGUAAAUUGAUAGUUUUACCAAACCGUGGUACUGACAUGAUGUGUCAGAAUACCUUAGGUGGGAAAAUGAUAAUAUCCCUUUCAGAUAUAACAAAGAGGGACAGAGUAAACAAGAGAGGGAAUUUGAUACCUCGUUGAUUGCCUUUUCAUAGCCCAGUCUCAGUGAUGCAAUUGCCAUAUGCCGAAUUCUUAGUUGUGAAUCUGCCAAAAUCUUGUUGUUUGCUUUUCCAUUCAGUUUCAAGCAGUUAGUAAACCCAAAAUAAAUUGGUUGUGACUCCAGACAUCCCGGUGCCCAUUGACGAAGGUCAGGAGAGGGUUUCGAUAGCUUUUCGAGUACGGAUGCAUCUAGUUCUUGUAGACAUGACGGAAUCUCUGGCAAAGAUUGGAGCCGGUUGCAGUUCCUUGCAUUUAGUGAUUGUAGACACAAUGAAAGUUCUGGUAAUGACCGAAGCAUGUUACAAUCCUCCAAGUUAAGAUAUUUUAGACACAAUGGAAGUUCUGGUAUUGACCGAAGCAUGUUACAACCCGUCAAGGCAAGAGAUUCUAGACACAAUGGAAGUGCUGGUAAUGACUGAAGCAUCUUACAAUCCGUCAAGUCAAGAGAUGUUAGGCACAAUGGAAGUUCUGGUAAUGACUGAAGCAUCUUACAAUUCUUCAAGUCAAGAGAACUCAACUGCGACAGUUGCUUGAUACUUGCAGGUAAACUCUCAAAGUUAUUUCCACUUAGAUGCAAGCCUGUCAGUGAGGAUAGACAGGCAAUCUCUUGUGGAAUUUCCAUUACAGCACAGUCACUUAUAUCUAGAAGUCCCAAAGAAGAUAAACCUAAUAAUAAUGAUCGAGGCAAUGAUGCCAAACCUUUGCAGCUAGAGAAAGAAAGAAUUCCAAGUACGUUUGAAUCUGUAACAGAGGAUGGUAGUUGACUAAUAGCUGAUUUAGCUGCUGAGAUGUAAUACAAAGAUUCUAAAUUGCCAAUGUUAUCCGGCAACUUAUCAAGUUUAGAGCAACCAUUUAUGAACAAUGAUUCAAGCCCCGGUAGAUUUUCAAAUGACGAUGGCAGCUCUGUAAUUGCCGUCCGGUCUAAAUAGAUGCGUUUUAAAUGUUCCAUUUUCUCCAAGAUUUCUGGGAAACGCUCAAGAUUCAAGCAGCCAAGAAGAAUAAGCCGAACCAAAGAUCUCAAUUUACAAAACCUAGUUGAAAUCCUCUUCAGCCGUUUGCAACCCAUCAAAUCCAACACUUCAAGAUCAGUUAGGCACUCUAUUGAUGAUGGAACUUCUUCUAUUGCAGACUGGUCUAAGUAUAGCCGUGUAAUUUUCCCAGAAAUCUGUGGAAACUCUAUGAGAUUAACACAAGAGGAGAAAUUAAUAGUUACUGGACAAACAAAAUGAAGAUUGCUUGGAAAAGACCUAAGACUUUUGCAGCCCUUAAAAGACAACGCACUGAGAAACUUGAAAUUCUGGAUAGAUGAGGGAACACAAGCCUUUUCUCCUUCCCAAGGUUGCUCAACUUUACUAAAACGCAAAUUCAGUUCAACAAGGUUCUUUGGCUUGAAAUUUGAUGGCAGUGUCCUUAAUGGAUAUGUGUCCCAAUGAAGAUAUCUCAAUUUUUUAGGAAGAUAAUAUAGGCCUUUUGGAAGCUGCACUUUAGAGUAUGAAAGUUGCUCUUCAAUACUCAUACUUAGAAGCUUUUCAAUCCCAUAAAACUUAGGUACAUAAAAUUUGAGCAAUCUCAUAUUAGACAUAUUUGUGAAGGCUCCGGGGUCUAAAUUGAUGCCUUUUAUUUUGGACAAAUCCAAAAAUAUGCCUUCAAUUGCAUCAAUCCCCUUAUAUAAAAAAAAAAAAAACAAAGAAUGGGUAAGCUUAAAACUCAAAAGAAACAUUCGUAAACUUUACUAAGAGCUCCUUAAACAAAAACAAAUUCUGCAAUCUUUGAUUUAAUUUUUUUAAUAUAUUAAAUAUCUAUAUGUGAGAAAAGAAAAUUUUGGGGACCAUUGCAAAAUUCAACUAACUGAAAAAAAAAAUUCAAAAUUUCUCUAAUUUACAAACCUGUUAUCUUAAUAUCUAGAAGUUGAGAAGACAGGGCCUAUUUGAUUGGUAUAAGAUUUCGAUUUUUUUUUAGUCCAUAGAAUCCAAAAUGUUAGUUCAAAAUUAGGGAAAAAAGUCAUUUUUUUCCACCAACUGUAAUUGUAUCCAAGUCAAAUUGAGAUACGACCCUUUUCGAAAGGAUUUAACCAUCUUAUAGCCUCCUUAAGGUACAUUUAAGCUAAAAGGAGUGAUUGGAGGCAGUUCUAGGUGGGCCAAUCAGUCCAUUUUAUUAGUGACGUUUGCUUAAAAAAAAAAAUUAUACUCUAAAACACACUUUUUUUUUUUUAAAAAAAUAUAAUUAUAUUGAAGUAAAACCCGGUGGGCCAAUCCUCAUGGCACUCACUUUGUUCCGACACUCUUCACUAAAUUUGAAGAAAAAUAAAAUUAUACUCUUCACACUCUUAAUCAACAUUCCAAAAUUGAUUAAAUCUGGAGUUUUCUUUAAAAAUUUAAAAUUUGAAGAUUUGUUGUCUUGACACCCUCAGUCAUUAAUUUUACCUAAUUAUGGUUUUUAUGAUUUUGAUUGUUUUGUUCAUAAAAAUGCUUUUACUAAAGGAUGUUCUGGUAAUAAUAAAAUUUAUAAAAAACACAUGGGUGUGCUGGUAUGGUUGGAAAAAUAUGAGUGCAUAACUCCAAACAAAUAAAAGAUAUAUAAAAAAAAGAUGGAGGAUUCUUACCUUAUUAUGCUUUAGUACGCGGCGGAUUUCCUUAGGAUCCCACAACCUACUGCGUCUGCCUGGCUCUUCCUCAGAUUCUUGGCGAACAAUCUCUCGACCCAUUUCUUGCAAUAAAUCAUGCAUUUGCAAGCAGUUAUUUGACACUGUUAUGAGUGACUUGUCCACGAGGGCAUCUAGUUUGUGAGACCCAGAAUCAUCAAGUAUCCUCGACACAAAAUCUUUAUCCUCUCCCUCAAGGAAACACGCAAUAUCUAGAAACAUACUCUUCUGCUUGCGUGUUAAUUCAUUAAAACUAAUCUUUAAUAUAUCAUAAAUAUUAUGAAUAUCAGAUUCACAAAUCCGAUUUAAGUCGUUCAAUACAUUUUCCCAACGGCUUUUAUCCUUGAGGGAGGAACCCAACACUUUAAGAACUAAUGGAUUGCCAUCGGCAUACUCUACAACCCUCUGUGAGUGCCAGUUGAGAUCUUCAGCACAAUGCUUUUCUUUAAAAGCGAAGUUACAAAAAUGCUCGAAAGCCUCAUCAAAUUUCAAUCCAUUGACCCUAUAUAUUUUCUCCACUCCAAAUUUUUCGAGGACUCGUUUAUCCCUAGUGGUUACAACAAUUCUACUUCCUGGACCAUAUUGAUCAAGCCCUCCAAUCAAACCCUCUAAUUGUUCAUCUUUAUUCACAUCAUCAAGUGCAAUCAACACCUUCAUGCGUCGGAGCCUCCCUUUAGUAAAUUGUGGAAUGUUGGGACCAUCUACUUCAAGUUUUUCACUUAAUAUUGUCGAAAGCAUUUCCUUUUGUAGCUCUUCUAGGCCACCCCCUGUUUCUGAUUUUCUCCUAACAUUUUUUGCAAAGUAUUUUCCAUCAAACUCACCAGAGAAUUGAUCGAAAAUAGCUUCAGCAAGGGUGGUUUUGCCUAUACCACCCAUGCCCCAAAUUCCAACAAUUUGGACAGUAUCCCACAAAUCCAUGCACAGCAAUGGUUUAAUCUGCUCAAUUCGUGAAUUUAAUCCAACCAGGCCAUUGGAUGAGUCCGUUGAGACUGUUAUUUUUUCCAACUUCUUCAAAACAUCUUCGACAAUUUUGUUUACAAGUUGCGCAUCAUGCCUAAUAUGAAGGUGCAAAGAUGCAAAAACAUUGAGUCAAAUCGGGCCAACACAGAAACAGAGAUAAGAUGAAUUAGGAAAGAGAGUUACCUGAAUUUUGUGGAUUCGUGGCCAGCUAGAUGGGAUGUUUCUUUCAGUGCAUCCCUCCACUUUUGAACCAUUUCUGGUUUCUCUUUGAGCUGCUGUUCUAGCUUGUAAAAACCGUCCCCAAAAACUCCGGUUUGAUGCCGCACAUCAGAUGGACUUACUUCAUAGAAGACUGGAAUAAUAAUUUGGCCGUUUGUGUUCUUGCAUUCAAGAAUCUUGACAAGUUCAUUUAGGCACCAUUUUGAAGAAGCGUAGUCCUUUGAGAAAAUGACCACCGAAAUUUUUGAACCUUCGAUUGCGUUCAAAAGAGCAGGUGAAAUCUCAUCUCCUCGCCUAAGCUCUUCAUCAUCAAUAAACGUUUUGAUUUUCGUUCUUUCAUUCAAAUUAUAAUAGAGAUGGCAUGUAAAGCUCACGCGAGUGUCCUCUCCUCUGAAACUGAGGAAUACAUCAUAAUUGCAACAAGAAGAAGAGGAAGCCAUGAAGGAAAUUUUAGAAAUUUGGUGACAGAAACAGAGAAUUAAUCUUGAGAGUUGAGAGGGGAUAUGUAAGAAUGAAAAUGCGUAAAUAGUAAAUAAUUGAAUUAAUCUGGCGAGUACAUAGUAAAUAAUUGAAUGGCCGGGGCUUUCUUAGUUUCCUGGAAAUUUCCUGGAGCUUUCGUAUACAUGAUUUGUCAAGUCAAGAAACAUAAUCAUGAUAGGAAAUGGGGCAGACCAGGUAGGAAAGAAAAUUUGAUCCAACCAAUAAAGGAAGGAAAAGUAAAGAAAGAAAAUUUGAAAGUAGAUUCAGAGAAUUAUAAAAAGCUAAAGGAAAUUGGAAUUUUGUACCAUUUCUCCAGCCAGGAACUUUCAUUGUCAUUACCUCACUGUUACAGUUUGGAUUAAGAUUUGACUUUUGAGCAAACAUUCGCCAAAAUUUUACCUCUGCCUGUAAAUUCUUAAGUUUUGAAAAUUAUGAGACCUUUAUAUUGGGAUAUAUUAUAAUCGAAUCAAAACAUAAAAUUUUAAUAUUGUUAAUCUUUAAUCUUUUUUUUAAAAAAUUGAACAACAGAGUAAUUUCUAACAUAGAAAAAGUUGUAUAAUUGUCCAAUUAUUUAUAAUUUUAAAUAAUCCGGAUUGGUUUGUUAGAAAAUCAUCUCUUUGAUUUUUGAGAAUUUUUCAUAAAGAAUAGGGAAUAUAAUGUUCAUAUUUAAAGUAAGUAAGUAACACAUCUCAAUUGUUGAAAUUAUUUUUCCAUUAAAUUCAACGAUGACGAAUUAAAGUCAGAAAAUGACAAAAUCAGUGGUGGCUUGCAAUAAUUGCAAGGUCGCUGGACCCUUGCAAAAUGUGUGAAAGUAAAUAAUUGAAUGCACAGAGCUCGCUUUCUUACUUUCGUUCCGGUUUCCUGGAAAUUUCUUGGAGCUUUCAUAUACAGGAUUUGCCAUGUUAAGAAACAGGGUCAUGAUAAUGGGGCAAACAUUUGAUUGAACCAAUAAAGGAAGGGAAAGCAAAGUAAGGAAAAUUUGAAAUUAUAAGAAGCUAAAGAAACAUCCAACGUCAUUACCUCACUGUUACAAUUUUUAUUGAGAUUUGAGCAAGCACUUACCUAAACAUUACCUCCGCCUGUAAAUUUAUAACUUUUGAAAAUUAUGAGAUCUUAGAUUGCGAGAUAUUAAAAUUUAGAAUUUCAAUAUUAUUAUUCUUUUAAAAUGAAAUUUGAGAUAACAGAGUGAUUGAUAAUAUAGGAGAACUUGACCACGGUAGGCCAAAAAUCUAGGCAAGCACAUGCAUACACAGAAAUGUGAUGGAUUCUGAAAGAAAUUAAAGUAAUAAUGUACGUAGGUCCUUAAAAUAAAAAGCAAAAUCGCUUGGUGGCCCAGUAUAAUAUAUAUAUAUUAUAAUACAAUAUAAUACAAUAUAAAUUCAAUCCUUACCUGAGGCAUGGAUGCACAACGAGUUACCUGCCACGCUGGAGCACCUUGAGGUCAAUUGUUGCUCGAAUCUUGCUUUCUUGUCACGGAAUGGAAAUCUACCUCAGGCUCUUAAGUACCUUCGUGUUGAAGACUGUUCAAAGCUGGAGUCGUUAGCAGAAAGGUUGGACAACACAUCCCUUGAAGAAAUUGAUAUUUCAGGGCUUGAAAAUCUUAAAUCAUUACCUGCCGGUUUGCAUAAUCUCCACGAUCUUCAAAAGAUUUGGAUAUCUGAAUGUCCAAAUCUUGAGUCAUUUCCCGAAGAAGGAUUGCCUUCUACGAAACUGACUCUGCUCACGAUAUGUGAUUGUGAGAAUCUGAAGGCUUUACCCAACUACAUGCACAAUCUCACUUCAUUGAAAACUCUGCGUCUCGGUAAUUGUCCGAAGCUCACAUACUUUCCAGAGCAGGGCCUGCCUAAAUCACUUUUGGAACUAAUUGUCUCUAAUUGCCCGUUGAUAGAAGAAAGGUGCAGAAAGGAUGAAGGAAAAUAUUGGCCCAUGAUUUCCCAUAUACCUUGUGUCCAAAUUAAUUUCAGAUCAGUUUUUAAAGGAAGAUCCAUCAAUUAGAUUGUGUAAUCAUAAUUUCUUUUUUUUUUCCACCUGUAAUUUAAUUGUAAUAUGAACUGACUUUAUCAAUAAAAGAAUAAAAUUAUGUUUAGGAUUGUCAGUGAAGUUGAUAAAGUAAGAAGAGCAGAGGAAAGAAGUAAUAAGAGAAGAAGAAACUCCAGUUCAAGGAGGGAUGUUAGUGAAACUGAUUAAAUGAGAAGGAACAGAGAAAUCGUGUACAUGCUGUUAUUGUGCUCUUGACAGCAGCUAAGCAGCUCACUUAAGCUGACGUGGAUUAGUUAGUUAUUUGGUUUAACAAAUUAUCAUUUUAUAUAUAUAAAUGAUAAAAAAUUGAAUUUAUAUUGUAUUAUAAUAUAUAUAUAUAUUAAACCAAACCAAACUUAUGUUAUAUGGUUUUUUAAAAAAAACUUAUUUUAUAUGGUUAAAAGAAAACCUUAUGUUAUACGGUUUCAAAAAAAUAAACUUAUAUUAUAUGGUUUCUUAUUAAUAAUCACACAAACCUUAAGGACUACCAUUUGUUUUUUGAAAAAAAAAAUUGAAUCUAAAGAUUUUUGAGAAAUGACCCAUUAUAAGUUGAACUUAUAUUAUAUAUAUUUUCUCCUUACAUGGACAACCACAGAAAAGACCGACCAGUUAUCUCCAUGAACUCGUAUAAAUUCAACCAAAAUAACAAUUCCAAUCUUACCAAAUUCUUGAGUUAAAUUUAUUCAAUGCUUUUUUUUUAUAGGAAAUUUUUUCCAAUGCUACUUUUCCUUUUUUGGGGAAAUUAGACCGCGGUAUGUGUAGAAGACAUUGAGGUGUAAAGCGACAUUAAUUUCAUGGGUUAUGCGUUAUAGGCAUAAUAUAUUUUCAGUCCAGAUUCAAUUAUGCAAAGAGGCUUGAGAACUUAAAAUUAACCACAAACUAAACAGACGAAGUAAAUACAUGAUUAUGCAACAUAACAUUAAUUCUCUCAAUUUAUAACUGUUUUUGCUACAUGAAUCUUGCACAGUUAGUCCUAAUUGAAGACUAAAAAAGAACAAUUGGAACAAGGUUUUGGAAUAGAAUGAUAUACAAUCAAUAUGAUCCAUUUCUAGUGGCCAAAGCUAAUUAACUGCAAUUUCUAGACUCCUAAGUAUACUAGUCAUAGGAAACUGUUUAGAAAACUAGUGAUCAGAUUAGAUUUUGAAAAGAAAUAAUGUUCAUUUCCCCUUCUCUACCUUUUUUUUUUUUUGUUUUAUUUUUAUAGCAAAGAAUUAUAUCAUGAAAAGAAUCAAUUUAAUCACCUUUUCCAGCAGCCCAAUUUUUCUUUUAUAAAAUUGGACCACGGAGACAAAGAAGAAUUAUUCAUACCUUCAUCACUAAGGAAAUACUUUUCGGUAUGGCUAAGGUGAGAAAAGGCUUUCCACAAACACUAGUAGUUUGUAUUCCUAUAAAUUUUCUUUGAAGUCAAUAAAAACCAUAAGUUUUUUACAAUAACCAUCUCUUUGAUCAAAAAGUGCCGUAUUCCUUUAGAAUUUAAAACCGGCAAAAACCGAAUCGAUCAGUGUCUUUGAAGAGACAUAAUGGUCGUAAUUCUUUAAAUGAGUUGGCUAUGGAAAUCCUUAUCCAAGAUUCUUUUACGCCAUAUUCUUUCGUAAACCAAAAUUCAUUUUGGAAUACUCCUCGUCCCAACAUACAGAGACAGUCUGUCAUAACUUUAGCCGAAUACUUAUGAUAAUGAUCAUUUGUGAUUUCAUCAGGCAUAGGCAAGAACUUGAACUUGUCUACUACCAACCAAAAGCCGAAAUUCGCCUGCCACCCCCAAUGAUUCCUAAUACUAUUUUAAUACCAAGUUUGAUCACAAGAUAAGAAUCAGAUUUAACACUUUUCCAAGUGUUGUUUCUCAAAGAGAAGUCAUACACAUUUUAUUUUCUACCAGGAACUGUUGUACUAUCUAGCCAAAUGUAAAUUUCCGGUCUUGGUAUUCUCUUACCUCUCUAGUGGAAGGAUUGUAUAUCUUAUAUAAAUAGUUAUUAUAAUUACGCUCCGAGUCUCUCUUUAGUCCUCAAGCACAAUAAGCCAUUACAAGAACCCAAUAUCAAAACCGAUUCAUAAAGCUAACCAUUGCUUUAAUUUGCAAGUUAAAGAAAAAAUCACUUCAGGUUUCAGGGAUACUGUACGUAAAAUCGAGGAAGGUAACUGGAAAACACUUGUAUAUAUGUCAAGCAAACUGCAGGAUUUGUGAUUAUAUGUGUAAAAUAGAUAAGACUGAUAAUAUAGCAAUCGCAUAUACAUGCCAAUCCUAGUGGAGUAAAAGCUCUAUUGCCACUAGAAUUCUGUUCGUGGAAUUUGUUCUCAAAUUUCAACCGUAUGUAAAGUUUGAACUCUAAUUGCUUAUAAUGUAUUGAUUAAGAAUAAUCCUAAGAGUUCCUGAUUGAAAUUUUUUAAUGACUUUUUUAUUGUUUUGGAUAUACAAAUUGCAUUAAGAAAAAAUAUUGUCAAUUUCAGAGGAUAACGGGAAAUGAUUAUGCUUCAAAAGGCCAGAGAUUAGAGAAUAAAGAAGCAUUCAUUACUGAUAUACAAAAGAGAAACACUCCAAAAUUGCUAGCAAACUAGUUUCAUUUACUAUUUGGAUUUUGGAAGGGGUGAAGUUUUGAGCUUCAGUUGUUCCUCUAAAAUCAAAAGUAGCAAUUAAGCGUUCUCAUUUAGAAAGAGCAAAGAAGACUUAUUCGUACCUUACUAAAGCUAACAUUAUGGCAUGGUUGUUCAUAUAUAACGGCUGCUCUGUUAUGCUAGCUUCUCUGUUUUUUUUUUUUUUAUAUUACAUGAGACUAUUGCUCAAAUUACAACUCAUAUUACAUGAGAGUAUAACUGAUAUUUACAAAUCAAACUAUCACUGGGACCAAUUUACAUCAAUGCUAAUGGAACUCUGCCCAGAUUUUAACCCUCACAAAUAUUCGAGGGAUGUCUACUCCUUACUUUUAGGUAAGGGAGAAGACUACCUUCACUCAAUUUUAAUUGAGGAAGAAAAUAACCCCACAAUGCAUUUGCUUCUAUUUUUGCUUGCAGUUUUGAACAUAAAUUCUUGCUCAAAUAACCCAUAAUUAAAUAACACUAAUAUGGCUCGUGAAAUCCCAUAAUAGCUAAUUACGCAACUUUCUCCUCCUCCUCAAUUCUGUCUUCCCCUGCUCGUACACUAAAUUCAAAAUUCAAUGCCCCUAAAAACAACACAAGAAAUCUUUGAGAUAAUUCAUGACCAGUUUAUACAUAGUAGCAAUUGAAAAAGGAAAAAGAAUGAAAGAGUUAAUUAUUAUUCAGACCUUCACGUAUUCGGAAGUUUGUUCUGCUAUUGGGUGAGAUCAAGCUCUCAGCAUAUACUUCCAUAUGAUACUUUCCAACAUUUUCUUGAAAGCCAUCAAUCAUAAAAUCUUCAUACUUUUUUUCAUCCUUUGGAUCAAUAAGUACAAAUUUCUCGUCUAAAACAUACAAAAUAAAAUCAUUGUCCUUCUUGGAACAUAAUGGCUGCAAUGCCUGAAUUGAAUUGGCUAAUGAAAUUUAAGUCCAGGAUUCUCUCAGCCCAUAUUCUUUCAUAAUCCAAAAUUCUUUCGACCAUAAUGUUGACUCUGAGAUUAAACAAAGGCAAUUUCCUAUAAUUGAAUAUGAAUAUUUGGAAUGAUAUGGGCAAACAUUUUUCAGGUAAGGCUAAGAAUUUGAACUUGUCUUUUGCCAAAACAAAUGCCGCAAUCAUGUAAUCAGAAUUGAGCUUACAAAAACCGAAGUGGACAGUUCCAUUGAGAUUGGUCACCCGAGAACAAUGAUGAAAAAACUUAAAAUCAGUUUCAAAGGUGUUCCAAAGUAUUUUUCCUUAAAGAGAAGACAUGCACACCUACUACUACUUUGGCAUUUCUAUAAGAGUGAGAAAACCCUAAAACCUUGAACUCAUCUAUUGAUUGAGCAUAACCUAAGCUAACUAACGGUGUAUCUCUAUUAGUGAAGGGUUCAUAGUCGUUUGGUAUUCUCUUGAACUCUCUAGUUGAACAAUUGUAUAUAAAUAAAGUUUCAGUUGCAGUUUCAUCUCGGAGGGAUAAGCACAACAAAGCAUUACAAGGGCAGCAUAUCCUAAGACAAUCAAAAGAGCUUUCUUUAAUUGGAAAAUCAAACUGAUCUUCCGUAAUAAUUUUGCUAUCGAGGUCUAUACGGAGAAGAGAGUUUCUUACCAAGCUCUUGACCAUAUCAACAAGAACCAGCGUUUGUCCUUGUUGGUUUUUAGUUUGGUUGAUCUUGACGAACCGAGGAUUAGUAAUUAAGGCCCUGAAUGACUUGGAUAAACACUUGAAUAGGCAGAGAGACUUGGCGGGGAGUUUUGCAAACACAUCGACGAUGAUAUCUGGAGGAAGAGCCACAUUGCUUCUUCACCAAGUUAAGCAAAGACUUUAGGGUUUCUUGAUCUCAAUUUGGUAGCCGUGAUGUUUGUAAAGAGCAGUCAUUCGCAUAAAAACUAUUAAAUAUAUUAUUUUUUUAUUCUAAAACAAUAUCAAAGCAUUUUUUAAAUACUGCUCCGUUAAUUUUGAAGUAAAGUUUUUGGGCUCCUUUCAAAAUAUUUUGCCUCUACUCCCAAAUGGGGGUUUUUAAUUAAAUACCCUUUAAUAGUUUUAAAAUUAUUUAAAUACCCCAUCCUUUUUUAGUUUUCAUGGAUACCCUAACAAAUGUGAGUAAAGUCAGAAAUACCCUUAAUGAAUGCAUCAAAUUCACUCAAUGAAUUGUCUUCAUAUUUCUUUCCUCAUUUCUUUCACCCAAAUCUAUUUUUGCUGCCGAUUCUCUCAAAGUCUCUUAGAAUCUCUCAAAAUCUCUCAUAACUUCUUACACAAAUACAAUUAUGUAUUCAUUUCUUUAACACCCACUCUUUCUUUAAAGGUGCAUUGCUUAUUAAACAACCCAAUAAGAGAUGUUAAUGUUGUUAGGUUUUAAAUUUUUUAAUUUUUAGGAAAAUUUAGAAAUUUUCCUCACAUUACAAUGUUUUAUUUUCACCAUUUUUUCUUAUAUGUAGAAAUUUAUGCAAUGUAGGUUGUUUGAUUAUUUUUUUCAGCAAUAUAGCUUAUUUAUGGCGAAAAUGUUUCGCGUUAUGCAUUCUUUUGAUAUCGUGUACGUCAUAUAGUUAGUCAUAUAGGUCAUGUAAAUAAUAUAGUCGUGUAAGUCGUGUAGGUCAUGUAAGAAAUAUAGUCAUGUAAGUCGUGUAAGUAAUAGAGUCGUGUAGGUCGUGUAGUUACUUGUAUAUGAAAUUUGAUAUUAUUAUUUUUAUUGUAUCAUCAGAUAUGGGAAGUGGCUCGUUCUCACUUCGAGGGGAGGUGUUAUGGGAUUAUGACAACUAACAUUGCAGAAAGUAUGAAUUCUCUCUUGAAAGAAGCACGAACCUUGCCUAUUCAUAAGUUAAUGGAUUGUAUCAUUGACAAAUUACAAGAAUAGUUUGCAAAAAGGCGAGAUAUGGAAAUGGAUGCAUGUACUCUAAUUUGUUGCAUUAUGAAAUAACUAAAUUUUUUUACAUUCCAAUUUAAUUUCACUUCUUUGUUUUUAUAAUUUCAGUUGACAUUUUCUACAUAGCAGCAAAUAUAAAUUCUUAGCACCAAUUAAGUCUUUAAAGAACUAAAUUAAUCUAAUGAUUAUUGGAAAAAGUCGUGUAAUACAAGAAGUCGUGUAAUACAUGAAGGUGGUGUAAUCGCAUAAUAUAUGAAGGUCGUGUAAUACACGAAUAUAUUACAUGACCUUACACAACCAAAUCGUGUGUUCAUAAAUUACAGCAAAAAAAUAAAUUUGCAUAUUCGACAGUUUGAGAAAUGAUUAGAUUAAUUAUUAUAAACAAACAAAGUUAUUAGUUUACAAUGUCAAUAUUUGGAUAGGAUACACUAAUGGGCAUCGCAAUUAAACAAAUUACAACCAUUUAAAAAGUUUUUUUUAUCUUCAAACUGUUUUCUUCCUCUGCCCAAGCAUACAUGAGGAAUGUCUGCAAAUAAUAAAUUCAUGAAAUCAAUUAGAAACAACUCUUAAUCAAAGGCUGCUUGAAAAAACCACUUUAGUUAAUUCUUCCUAUUAAUAGCCCAGGACCAUUGAUAGUGAUGGCCUAUAAAAUUUCAUUUUACUAAAUCAAACUAUUCCACCAGCAAUGACUUCAUUUAAAAAAACAAUACUCACAUGUUAGUUGUUCUCCGAAAGUAAUGACUGGUCAUAGAAAAGUCUUUCAGCAAGUUGCUUUCAUGAAGGUCGUGUAAUUGCAAUACAUGAAGGUCGUGUAAUCGUGCAAUACAUUAAGGUCGUGUAAUCGUGCAAUACAUGAAGGUCGUGUAAUACACAGCCUUAAAUCCUACAUAACCUUACACGACCAAAUCAUGUGUUACAUGACAAAAUUAUAAUCGGCACAAUCCAUCAAAUUUUCACAAUUUGCAUGCAGCAAGACAACUAGAAAUUUAUUUUUGAACAUGUAAUGAGAGACCCGCAACUAAUUAAUCUAUAUUUUCUAUAGAAACCCUAACUUUUUGUUUUUUUUCCCCGAAUAUCAACAAGAAAACUAAUUAUAGGGAAUUGCUUACCUCAACUAGUUACAUUAUGACCAUUUUAUAGUAAAAGAUCAACUCUCACCGAUGAUUAUGUAGCGACAAACUAGGCUUCUCUUUCUCAGUUGUGGCAGCUUCUCCUUCUCAGGCUCAGUUUGCUCGUGUUGAAGUUCGAUUUAGCAUGUAUGGAAAAUGAAUAUUUGUUUCGGUAGAGGUGAUGCCGGUGAGGGAAUUGCAGAUGUGAUGCUGGUUGAUAUUUGAUUUAACAUGUAUGAGAAUGGAGGAUGAGUGUUUGUUUGUUUGAGUAAAGGUAAUGAAAGGAAUUGCAGCAGAUAUGAGUGUUUGUUUACUUCAGUAGAGGGGGGAGAGGUGUUGUCCGUUGAGUUGAAAUGUUUUAAAAUGAGGAUAACUUAGUAAUUUCCUAUCAAUUUUUAAAAGAUAUUGAUGAAAAUUUUGACAAAAUCAAAUUUUAAGGUAUUGAGAUAAUUUUUGAAGUAUGGAGGUGUACUUGCCGCAAUUAACUUUCCCAAAUGCCCAGCUAAAUACCCAAUGAAUAGCUCCGCCUCGAAUAUCAGAUGAAUAUCUCCAAUGAAAAUCACGUUCAACUCUUUUUUUUUUUUUUUUCCUCCCCAAGAGCUGGUUUUCACAGAGAAAACGUCUACAAUUUUUUCACAAAAACCAAAUUUCACAAUUUUGUAGUCAUCAAUUUGCUCAGCAUAACAAAACCCAUAUAAACUUUUCACUAUUUUACAUAUAGUAUAAUAUAACUCUUCUCCUCAGUCCUCAGUUCCCUCUUAUGAGAAAACUAAAAUUCACGUCUCCUUCUUCGAUAACAAAUUCACGUUAAAACCCUCAAAAACAACAAGACUUGCCAAUAUUUUAUAAUAAAGAAGAGAGAAACAAUGCCUUCAUAUCCUCGAAGUAAAUGAGAACUUGCAAUAAUUAAAGUAAGUAGUAACAUACGGUUUGCGACCCUGUUGAUGAUAGGCGUCUAGGCUAGCAAGUGGCUUUAGUAUGUAAAACUAUCUAGAAUCAAAAUCUAUGUACAUUCGAUAAGCGGGUCGGUCAGCAGAGUAGUAACCUUGGAUCAGGGUAUCAACUUGGAAACCAAAUUUCUUGUAAAGAUUCACAGCGGGAGUUCUCAAAGGAUCAACAUGAAGCGUUAUGCGGAGCACAGUUCUGGUUCUGCAUUUCUUAAUUGUUGCUUCCAGCAGUGCCUCUCCGUGACCUUGUCCCCGAUAAUUCUCCUUCACUAAUUAAGUUCACCCCAAAACCCAUUAAUUUCAUGUCAAUUAAAAAAAGAAAAGAAAAUGAAUAACUAACAAAUAUUUCUUUGAGGACUUUUAUCAAACAGUUGAGAUUACGGGCAUGCAGUGGAAAUUUCAACAAUGUGGACAAAGAUAUGGGACCUGCAAGCUUGGUGAUAGAAGCAGACAAGGAAGUAGGCCACGCGUACAUGACGUAGCCAACGACUUGUCCAUGAAUAUGAAUGUAAAGCAGGCCUGAGUUCUUCUUUUUCAGCUCUUCAUCAAAAGAUCUUGCCAGUGAUUCGUGCUUGGGAAAAAUCUUCUUCUCCAUCUUCACAAUCUCGUCCACUACGACAGUCCAGUUCGUUGAGUUUCUCUGCAGCUCCGUGACGGUUCCAUUACUCCCCAUGGCACGUGGCUUGUUGCGACUUACAGUUGAUCCAGCACGUACAGAAAAUUAGAAAUGAAGCCUCCUAGCAUUCUUUCGAACAGGCAAAAAAGUCAAUGGACAUGGAGGCGCCAUGUGUGGAAAUGUUAAGAGGAUGAUGAAGCCCCCAAGAGGCCAGCGUGGCGUGGCAUUGCACCUCAUCAUUUUUUUAAUGCUAAUCUGUAGAGCGGCCCAAAAUGACGGCACAAUAUAUAGCUGGCAAAGCCCACCCAAGCCCAACUAUUUGGGCCAACAUAUCAUAAAUUAAAACAAAUAUAAAAUGCACUGUACAGCGCAGACAAAGAUGCUUUGUGCAGAGAUGUGUUUUCUUUAUGGGUCCAAUUAUAUUGGUACCGCUCUAAGGUAGAGUAUCAUUUCAUAACUACAUUAUCAAAAUCAUAAUUAUUUUUUUAUUAUUUAUUACUUUGCGUGUGUGACUGAGAUUCGUGAUCCAUCAUAGAUCAGCUCCAACGUAACAGAAGCCUUCUUUUAUUGCUCAUCAUCUUUAGCAAACAUUCAUUGGCUUUGGAUGUUGCUACAAUUUAUUUUGCAUAAUUGAAAAGUAUAGUAGAUGUGCAUAAUGUUAGAAAUUUUAUUAUAAUAUAACAAAAUACGUAAUAACUUAUACUAAGAUGUUAAGAAUUCAUUGUGCCAAAUUCCUAUAUUUGUCUAUAAUAAAUCAAAAUUUCAAAAUAUAAAAUAUGGAUAAAAUUAAAUAGAAAAUGAUUCAAUUUAUAAAAUUAAAAAUGAAAUUUGAUUAAAUCAUAUUUCUAAGUAUGAAUAUUUAGUUAAACAUUUUUGAAAUAAAGAAAAUUAUUAAAAUUGAAAAAACAAAUAAUUAAAAAAUAGAAUUUUAAAAUUGAAAUAAAACUAAUUUUAUUGAUUGAUAAUAUAUUACAAAGAGAGAUGAGAAAAAUAAAUUGAGGUGAAAGAAGAGAAGAGAAGGUGUGUAGAGAUGUGUUCCACCCUCUUCUAUUUAUACUAAUACAUGGUUAAUCCAGACUACGCAAAUAAAUAAAACUAAUUACACCUUAACCGUAUAUUUGUCACACUGAUAAAACACAAACUUAACUUAAUCCACUAAUGCAUAUCCAACACAUUCCGUUAACAAUUACCAUAAAGUAGUGUACUAGGGUAUAUACAUAAUCAUUUUACAUAACUAUACGCUGAAUGUAAUACAUCAGCAAACUUGGAAAUCAUACAUUCAUUACAAAACUGCACCAUAUAAUACCCAGAGGAAAUAAGUCUCAAUACUUACCGAGAUCAUCAUCGCAUGAAUAGAGGAUAGAAAACCUUUCAAUACCUAACAAAACUUAACUACAUCAUACAGGUAAAGUAAUUUAACUCUCAAUACACAAUGCACAUAGCUUAUAAAGAAGACUACAUAUAUGAUGAUUGGCAAUCACAUAUCAUGACUCAAUUAAAUAUAUAAUACGUGUAUAUAAAAUCAUAACAUGAUAUUAAAUCAUAUUAUCAAUCAUAAAUGCUUCAUAGAAUACAUAAUGGUAAUAAUUGUCUCUACUCACAGAUUUUGUUUCACUCGUGGGUUCGUUGGGGCUCCUGUGGGUUUCUAAAUUCUUGAAAUUCUCAUAAAAUGCAGGAUUCAAAAAUUAACUGUUAGAACUGAUAUAAAAAUUAAUACGUACGAUGUAAAUUAAAUCAUAAUUUCUUAUAUUUCACAAAUCUAUUACCCACUGACUCACUUAAUAUAGAUCUAACUGUCCAAUUCUAUUUCUUAUAAUAUUUCUCUCAAUUCCACUUUUCAAAUUCUUUUCCACUCACAACUUUUUAAUUUUCUUUUUCACUCUUUUCUUUCUUUUCCUCAUUUCCCACUCUCGGCUUCUUUCUUUUCUUUUUCUUCUCUUUUAUCUUCUCUACUUUCUUAUUUCUCUCAUGUUUCCUUUAUUCAUUCUCAGUGCUCAAAUUUGAUAAAAUGAAGCAGUGUCAAAAUUUUGCAUUUAUAUAGCCACCAAACAGCCACCGAAUUGAAGCAAGUAGCUCUCACUUUUUAAAUAUAUGUAGGCACCACUUGAAGCAAGUGAAUAUGUAGCUAGCUGCUUCCAAUUGCCUGCACUUGUGCUAUAUAAUUGUAAAAUUGGACUUGGGUUUGAGAGGCCUCUUCAAUGCUUUCUAUUCUCCCGUAAUUAUUGUUAUUAGAAUAUUCCAACCUAGCCUACGUACAACUGCAUUCUUCACUCGUGCUCAUCGUAGGCCUCUUUCAGCCAAUGGUUAAUACUAAAAAACUUAUCACCCAUAUAAUUUUUUAAUUUGUGUGUAGGGUAAUAAUAAAAUUGAAAAUAAUUAAAAAAUAGCACAAUAAUGAGUUUUCACAAUAAAACAAAUCAAAUGAAAAUUGAAAAUUUAGAAAAGUGUAUCUAAAAAAAAGGAGCAUUUUUGGAAAUAAAAUGAAUAUAACUAAAAAGGGGCUUUUAUGAGAAGAUCAUAGGGGUGUCAAUAGUCCAACUCUUAUAUUUAAAGUUAUUUUGACUUUGUAUUUCCGAUGAUAUAUUUAUUAGGUAAUUUUUAAUUGAGUCAUUAUUUGUAGAAAAUUUUUCUGAGACCAGAAGUUUAUAAAAUGAAUCAAUUAAAUCCCUCUAAGUAUAAAUUUAUGUCAUUCAAGUCUUUAACUUAAUUUCUUCGUUAAAAUUAUUAACAACAUCAAGGACAUUUUAGUUAAAAAACAAUUAAGCACCUUCUCAUUCUUUAUUUUUGACAGCCAACAAUAGUUUAAAGUAAACUCAAGUAACCUAAAUUAAUGUUCUUUAAAAAAAAAGAAAAAAGAAAGAAAGAAAAGGUUAGUUAAUGUGUAGGCAAGCAAUAUCACUUCAUCAACUGCACAGAUAUGAUUUCUUUUCAAGCAAGUGGAUUUCUUUUAUAUAUAUUCAUCAUGUUAUCAAAUGAAUUAAUAAAUUGGUGAUCCUAGUGAUGUGUAUGGAACCAAUAGGAUAUCACUAGCUAUACAUGUUUGAUUUGAUUGUGAAAUCCUAUUGAUUAAUUGUUUUUAAUAAAAAGAAAUUGAAGUCUCUUUUUUCUUUUUUCAUUUUUGGACGGCAUGGAAUUAGCCCACAAUCUCAAUAACUAGAUGUCAAUGAAUAAGCAAUUGACAAUAAUUCUAAACAUGCGAAUUAGACUUCAAUCAAUGUCACUCAACCUGUGGGACAACAUACACAACUUUUAUGGGCUGUAUCUCAACCUCAAAAUGAAGAACCAAUGUUAUUGACAAUGAGUAGAAUAGUACAAUAUUCACCUUGAGCUGGCAUUUAAUUCUCCAAAAUAGAAUCUAGAAGACAAUUAACUAUUUCUUGUACUUGAAUUUCAGUUUACCAUAAUGUUGUCAAGGUGUUUCUUAGUUUCAAUUUAAUUGACCUUCAUACUUUUAGUUUUAUUUUUAGACCGAAUGUUAUUGUGGUUUUUCUAAUAUUAUAUUCAAUACAUGUUAUUUAGUUUAACAAUCAUCGUAUAUUUUAUAAAUGUGACGGAAUUACAUUUUCAUGUGUAAUUCCAAGAGUUAUUAUGGUUAUGUUUUUUAGUGGUGCUCUCUUUAUUCGAAUUAGUUUAAAAACUAAAGAUUUUGUUUAAAUUGUUGCAGAAAUUUGUUCCCGAUUACUCAAAUUGGUAAAUAGGCUAUUAGGCUCUGAAAAAAAAAUUAAUGCAUAAGGGUAAAAUUGUACUUUAAAUCACUAAUAUGAUAUAUAUGGGAAUAUAGUUAUCUUUUUAUGUUUAAAUUAACGUUUUCACUAACUUUUAUGGCCAAAGAAUUAGGUGAAGAAUCUGAAAGACAUAAAUUUGUAUUUAAAAGGAUUUAAUUGAUUCAUUUUAUAAACUUUUGGUCUUUGAAUUUUUUUUCUAUAAAUAAUAAUGACUCAAUUAAAGAUCAUCCUAUUUAUUAUUGGCUGUUUAAAAAAACAAAAGAGAUGACUAGAGUUUAUCACUUUGACUAUAACGUGGGUCAUAUUGGUAGUUGCCAUGAUGGCAUGUCGAAUUUGGGAUGAUACGUUGAGGACUUGAGGUUGGAUUUCUUUCAGCUUAAAAAAAAAAAAAGUAUGCGGCCAAAAUUUUGCUUAAAAGGUUAAAUGUACCCCUGUCAAAGGACCAUCUCACCUCUGACCAUUUAACUUCUACCGUUAAAUCUGGUAUAUUUAACUAGUUUUGACCUAUGCAAUGAUUUUUUCUUGCAAGUUGUGUCAUGUGUGGAAGGGUAAAUUUGUUUUUUUUUGGGUGAACUUGUUCUUUUCUUAAAAGUUUCGGGGCUAUAAGUCUCUUAACUUAAAGUUAUAAUUAUAAUUGCACUAAUGAUACAAUAAAUUUUUGAUAAAUAAAUAUUUAAGAAAUUAAUAACUUUGGGUAAAUAACACACUUCUCCCGCCCCAACUUGCACUAUUUAAAUUAAUAAUUUCAUUUAAUGCAUAUGAUAAUAUUUUUUUUAAAUCCAUUAAGGCCCAAUGAAAAUAUAAAUUAAUAAUUAAUUAAAUAUAAAAAUUCAUAACUACUAAAAUAUAAAUUUGUAACAUUAAAGAAUUCUGUUUUUCUUACAACUUCAAUCAUCUAAAUUAAACUCUUUGCAAAUAAAUGCAUAUAGAGUUGUUUGCUUUUUUUUUUAAUAUUUAUUCCUAAAUUGAAUUCAAUCUCCUCUCUUAAUUUUUUUUUUUUUUUUUGUAGAGCAUGCACCACAUUUAUAACUUUUUUUUUCAUGUUUUAGAAAGUAGUUACUUAAUAUUAUUAUUGCUUGAAAGACCUCUUUUGCAGAAAUAUUUGGCAAACACAAUUAUCAUAUGAAUCGUAAUUGUCAUCAGCAUAGUUAUCUAAUACCCUUUUAAUAAUCUGGUUGAAUUAGUGAGUGAUUCCAUCACUACAGCUAUGCUAUUAAAUAUAGUAGUCAUCAGAGGAGAUAUUGUUGACAUGAGGAAGUACGAUAUGUGUUUAUACAUAAGUAAAAAUAUUGAUAAAACUCUUCCUAAAAACAAAAUAACAAAAUUAUGUUUCUAAAUUAAUAAAUAUUCAUUGAUCAAUAAAUUAAUAAAUUAUUAAAAUUUAUAAAUAAAUAAAUUCUCUAAAAUGAUAUUUUUUUCUUAGUCCUAGCAAGUAGCAAUAUUAUUUUAUAGAGGUUUUAUUUUAGUAAUAGCAAUAGUAUAAUUAUAAUUAUUAUUAUCAUUAUAUAUAAUAAUUAGUUAUAAUAUUUACUAUUAUGAUAGUUAUCAUUAUAAUUGUUAUUAUAAUUGUUAAUUAUCACUAUCAUUAUUAUUAGUUAUUUUACUAUUUAUUAUUAUCGUUAGCAUAGUAGUAAGAUAUUAUGUCGCUAUUAUUAUUACUAUUAAUUUUUUUAUUUUGUAAAUGGGGCAAAUUUCAAAUUUUAAAAACUAUAAGAAGAAUUUCAUUAUUUCCACUAGUUUCAUUCUCAUAUAUAUAGAUACACACACAUAAAGAAAUACGAUCAAUUAUUCACAUUUCUCUAUCCCACGAAUAAAUACUGUAAAUUAUUAUUUUUUAAAAGAAAAAUAUCAAAACGGUGUGGGUCCCAGCAUAAGCCUUCUAACCUACCUUCUCCCUGUAGAAAAAAAAGAAAAGAAAGAAAAACUCAACUUUUAGGAAAAUGUUUUGGAAAAUGAGAUUCUUCCCACGUUAAGCACCACAAUAAGCACCAAACGGUGCGUUUUGGGCAUAGUAUAAAAUGAGCCAACUCACGUGAUACACACAUAGCCACCAGUAAACACGCGCAGUAGAUCUCACGCGAUAUACACCUUUUCUCCAUUUGCUCUCACAAAAAUCUCACCGUUUCUCUCGCUGUGUCUCUCUUUGAUCUCCAUUCUCAAACUUUCUCAGGCAGUGGUGCUCGGCGUUGGUCUCUGGCCGUGGGUUUCCGGCUGUGGGUCUCCGGCCGUGGGUCUCUCACCGCUGGUCUCUCACCGUGGGUCUGCUCUCUCUCUUCUCUAUCAUCUCUAUUCUCAAACUUUCUUAGGCAGUGGUGCUCGGCGUUGGUCUCUCACCGUGGGUCUGCUCUCUCUCUUCUCUACCGUCUCUGUUCUCUCGAAUUGUAUAGGUAAUGGCAAAUUUCCGUGAGUUGAUUUUUAAUUUUUGAAAAUCCAGUUGAUAUUGUGAGCUUAAUUACACUUGGAUUGAUGUUGUAGUCGAAUUGUAUAGGUAAUGGCAAAUUUCCGUGAGUUGAUUUUUAAUUUUUGAAAAUCCAGUUGAUAUUGUGAGCAAAUGAGACAAUUAUUUUCAAUAGUCUUAGGAGAUGGCCUUGUGCUGGAGAUGGGAUUUUGAUAGCCUUAAGAGAUGGUCUUGUGCUGGAGAUGUCAUUUUGAUAGUUAUUUACAUGCAGUUUCUUGGUUACAAUUGGCAAUCCGUUAUAUCCUUUGAACUUGACUACUACAAAUAUUCCAAUUGAUGGAUGAGUUGAUUAUUCUUGUGUUCCUCUUAGACAUUUUUGAAAUGAGUGGCAAACAGACCAUAUUUUUCUUCUUUUUGUUUUCUUUGUAAUUGAAAUUGAAUAAUUUUAUUUGAGCUGAAUGAAAUUAGUGUAGACUUUUUGUUGUACUUUUGAGAUGAAUGCAGUAAGAUGUAUUUCUUUUUUUUUGGGGGAGAAAAAAAGAAAAUUAGACCUAGCACAUACUUAUGUAUUUCUUUUUUUUUGUCUUUGCCUAGGUGAAGUUGAAUUGGUGGUCAUUAGCAUAAAGAUGCAAUUGGUAAUUUUGAAGUUGGUUCAGUAAGCUGGUUUUUAAUAAAUUGACUACCAUUUUUUCUUUCUGGAAGGAAUCUGGGUUGUUGUGUAUAUUGAACAGAAUUUGUUCAAUCAUUAUGUCUUCAAGCACAAGCGAAAUGCAAACACAACUAAAAGCUUGUGAUAAAUGCUGCAACAACAAUAAGGUCUUGCAAACUUCACGUACAAAAGAAAAUCCGAAUCGUAGGUUUUGGAAGUGCAAAGGAUGUGGGGCUUUUGAAUGGGAUGAUGAUUGGAAGAGCAGUGAAUGUACUGAUUUUAGAGGGAUGGAAGAUCGUAUUAUAAAUUAGAAUAAAAUUGAGAUGUUGAUAGCAGAAGUCCGCAAGUUGGGCCAUCAAAUCGAAUGCUUAUCUCUUAAAUUUCAGUUGCUUGAGCAAGAACUUCAACGAAGACAACAACCAAGUGUUCUUGUAACAUACAUCCCGCAAAUAAUGAUAACUCUUUUAAUAUGUAUUAUAUUUAAGUUGUGCAAUUAAUUAAUGUAUUGUUAUUUUUCUUUUUCUUUUUGGCGAAUUGUAUCAUGAAUGCUUCAGUGGAUGUAAACAAAAACUAAUGUUUCUGUAAAGGGCAGGAAAGAUUAUGCUUAUGAUUGUUGCUGUCAUUUUAAUUUGCCUUAUCAUUUGCAUCUUUCUGUCAUUUGAUCCCCAUAACUAGUUUGUAAGGGAAUUGUUCCAUGCUUUUUCACAAAAUAUAGAUAAUUGCUGCACAUUAAAAACACAUUUAUUCUUUAGGAAAUAAUUAAAGAAUAACAAAUCUGCAGUUACAGAGGAUCAAUUCCAAUAGCAUACAAUUAAAAAAUAACAUAAUAUCAUUUAUCUCUCCACCAUUUCAGUAGCACACAAUCAAAGAAUAACAUAUUUGCAGCAUCUCCUCAAUUCCAAUAGCAUACAAUUAAAAAAUAUCAGAAUAUCAUAUAUCCUCUCACCAUUCCAGUAGCACACAAUUAAAGAAUAACACAUGCAGCAUAUCCCUCCACCAUUCCACCAGCAUAUAAUUCAAAAAUAACACAUGCAGCAUAUCCCUCCACCAUUCCACCAGCAUAUAAUUCAAAAAUAAAACAUGCAGCAUAUCCCUCCACCAUUCCACCAACAUAUAAUUCAAAAAUAACACAUGUAGCAUAUCCCUCCACCAUUCCAAUCCAAUAGCACACGGCCAAAUAAUAACACAGCUGCAGCAUAUAAAUCUAAUAAAGGAUCAUGCAUAGAUAAAAAACAAUUUCAUGUAUGAAAUCCACAAUCUUACAUAUCAUAGCCAAGGGCUUGUAUCCGAAUAUUAAUGAGAAUAAAACAAAAACAAUGCUAUUCUAGGAAAUCACUUCGAAACUCCUUAUCAACUUCAUAUUCACUAUCUUGCUGAAAGAGUAGCUGCUGAAAAUGUCCAUGCGGCUGGAAUUGUGGUUCCUAUUAAAAAUAAAUAAAUAUUUUGUUAUAAUAAAAGAAAAUAAAGUAGAUAAGAUGAAUAAAUACUAAAUUUAUCACCACUUACCGUACAAGAAUUUUGUGUAGGUGUUGGAUAAACAUUAUCCCCAACCAUAUGAUGUAAGCUCAUAAGACCCUAAAACAAACAUACAUUAAAUGAAGCGAUAAUAAAAAAAAUUCAUAACAUAUACUAUGAAAAACUUACAUUACAAUAGUCCAUAACUCCAUGUGGGUACAUAUUCAUAUCAACACAACUUCCUUCAGGAUUUUGAAAUGCCUAUAGAGGAUCAAUAAUAUAUUAGAAAAAUGUCUAUGAUUAAGUAAUAAAAAUCAACGACAUGCAUAUGAAUUCCAUAAAACCUACCGUAACAACAUUGUUCUCGUGUGUUGGGAUCACAGUCAGCACUUGCUCGUUCACCUGUCCAUCCUGCAAAGUCAACAAAACAUACAUUUGAACAUCAUUUAUCUCAUAAAUUUUUUAACUUUAAUUAAAUUGAAAAUACAUUUUAAAAGUACCUUUGCAUUAGAACGUGAGGAAUUCAUUUUAGAUUUUGAAAAUUUAUUAUAUUUUUUUCUUUGACAAGGUGGCCGACCUUUACGACGCCGAGCUACUGGAUCUCUAACUGUUUCUACUUCCACACUACAACUUCCUUGGCCUGUAACAAUAGUUACUUCAUUAUCUCCGCAAGGAAUUGCCUUUGAUCAAUCCUCCCGUACAUUCUCAAUCCAAUUGAAAACAAGAUUAGAGCUUUCAAUCUUAUGUGCAGCCAUAUUCGCAACCUCCGCGAAAGUAGCACACAUUUUCUCAUAUCGUUUUUGCUCAUCCGUACAGCUAUGAAGCUCAUAACUCGCUUUCACUCUACUAUGGCAUCUCCACACAUCUUUUCUCCAUCUUCGUAAAAUAUACUUUUCUGGAAGUACUUCUACGUCAUUGCGGAUCAUGAUUGUAAUGGCAUGCCUACAAAGAAUACCUCUAAAUUGGAACCUUGAGCAGCUGCAACGUAUUUCACCAUUUUCUUUUUCAAAAUAUACUUCAAAAAAGGUUCUCUUUUUACCCUCUCCAACUUUGACAUCCUCUCUAACUAUAUAUUCACAACCCAUAGAAUUGACAAAUUCGCAAUACAUUUUCCCAAUCAAUUCUUGCUGAAAUUCUUGAAAUUUUGAAAUAGUGUACACAUCUCGGACUUGCCUCUCCAUUGCAUAAGAUGUUACACGUGGCAUUUGUUGGGAAAGACACCUGACAUCUUCUUCAACUUCCUUCUGAACUUUAUUCUUCAACGCACAACUGUAUUGCUCUACAAACUGCUUCAAAGUAGUCUUUAAGUUAACAUAACCAUCAAAAAAUGCAUUCAUACUUUCACUGCGUUGAGUAGAUUACAUUCCUGCCCAAAAAGUAUUGUUUAGAUAACAAGGUACCCAAUGAUGCCUCUCAUCAUAUAAGCCUCGUAACCAUUCGUUAUCCCCCAAAUCAUAUUCUAUAAUCAUGUGGUGCUAAGUUUCCUCAAAUUUUGCAGCACUCUGGGAAUCAUAAACAGCACAAUGCAAGACAUUACUUAUGUUGCGAUAUUCUUUAUAACCCCCUAGCUUCUCUGGAAUUUUCUUCAUUAUAUGUCAUAAACACCACCGAUGUCGAGUAUUGGGGAAGACAUUCUGAAUUGCAACUUUCAUUGCCCUGUCUUGAUCUGUAAUGAUUCCAUUGGGAGCUGAAUUAGACAUGCAGGAUAGCCAUGUUCGAAAUAACCACGUGAAUGUCUCAAUAUCUUCGUGUGAAAUCAAUCCACACCCAAACAAAAUAGAAUGCCCAUGAUGAUUAACUCCUACAAAUGGAGCGAACGGCAUAUCAUACUUAUUUGUAAGAUACGUGGUGUCAAAUGUAACAACGUCUCCAAACUCCUUGUACGCUUCCCUAUUCCUUGGUUAUGCCCAAAAAACAUUUUUUAAUCGUCCCUCAUCAUCCACUUGCACACUAAAGUAAAACCUAUUAUCUUCUGCUUGCACUUUCAUAAAAUAGUUUUGAAGAGCAGCAGCAUCUCCAUCUCCAAGCCGUAAUCUUCUUUCUUUCUGAACAUGAUUUCUACAAUCUCUUUCUAUGAAUGUCACAUUUUCAUGACCGCUAGCCUCAAUAACAAGUGAUUGAUAAUUUUUACACAAUCUGAUUCCUGCUCGAUCAUUCACAUCAAGCAUCUUUUUUGCAUAUGUAUUGAGGCUAAGAUUGCACCGAAAAUACUUGGAUUUGGUUGGAGUUAACAGCACAUGGUUGUGUUCAAGAUUUAAGCUUCGAAUUGUCCACUUUCCAUCAUCCCCUAAACCAGCUCUCAAUCUAGCAUUGCAGCUUGUUUUUGCAUUAGGUUGGGGCUUUAAAAUUUUCACAGAUUUGCUUCUUGUUUCACCACUUCUCCCACAAGCAAAAGUCACAUUUCUAAAUAUCCCAUCACUAUCCUUUCUACUAGUUCUCCUCAAAACCGGAAACCCUUUUCUUUUACCGUACUCUUUUAAGUAAAUAAACAAAUCGACAUCACUAUCAAAUGACAUCCCAAUUAUUGGCUCAUCAUCCUCCUCAUUUUUCUCCAACUCUUCAACUUCGAUGUCCUUUUCCAUAUUAUUUAUUUCUACAAAAUUGAAAUAAUUCACAUUGACAAAAUGAAAGUAACAAAAUACAAAUAAUUCAGCACAACCUUACAAAACUAAACUAACUAAUGAUGCAAAUUGUGAACACAAAUUUAAUAUAUACCAGCUGAAUUUGCAGCAUAUAUUUAUUUAUUUCGUGCUUACUAUUAACUUUGUAAUAGACAAUUAAACAAAUAAGUAUGGAAUAAUUUAUGGCAGUGUAAAUUACUAGCUGAAUCUGCAGCAUAUACUAGAUAAAAUGCCGAUCACUGUCUUGAUUUUUUAUUUUUCCAUUUCAUUAAGUAAUUUGUUUAACUUAAUUUAAAUUAAAAUAAUGGGUUGCAAAUUGAAAUUUAAGUGAAAUGGGCUGCUGCCAUUUCCUGCCUUGAGUUGAUAGAAAGGUGCUUACGGUCUACAACAUAUGAUGCGGGUUUUUGCCCAUGCCUUUUUGUUUAUAGAGAUCGACUAGACAAGUUUUUUACAAGACAAUGCGUCAUUGGAGAGGAUGAAAUGGUUUAGGCUCCUAAGGGCUGCAUUCUUUUUUUUUUUUUCUUUUUCAAUGAAAUUAAAAAAAAAAAGUAUAUCCUGGAUCGCAAUUAGUGCGUCUACGAUUUAACUAGUCGUCUUGAACAAAGAUUCUAUAACUCCUAAUCUGUAGCAUAUACGCAUCCAAUGCAUACCUGCAGAAAUUGAUUGCCGCAAUCGACGAUGAGUGAAGUCAGUCACCAAGAUGCAACUCAAUUCUUCACACAGCUAAGAGGAUGAUAUACCGUGAGAGAGCCAACGGAUUUCACACCGUGAGGAACAGUCCACAAGUAAAACAGAAAAUGCCUUAGGAGAAUUAGUUGUUCAGAUUUCUAGCUUGAAUGAGGAGUGGGUUUGGUGUGAAUGAGAGUGAGAGUGAUGCGUGCGUGAGAUGCACGUGUAAUGUGUUUGUUUGUUCAAACAGUGGCCUUUUAUAUUGCACACAAAACGUACUGUUCGGGACUUAUUGUGGUACUUAUUGUGUGCUGAAUAUCGGUGCUGAAAUGUUUUUAUUAAGAAAAAAACAAAACAGAACGUAGAAAUAGGAGCAAGCAGGCCGCAGGCCAAAACCUUGGGGGUACCACCAUACGACUUCUGACCUCCCUGCGGGCUUGUCCUUUGCAGGGGUGGUGACAUGUCACAUGCGUACCAAAAAAUAAAAUUAUCUUUUUGUAUUUUUGUAUUAUUAUUUUCCUCCGCUCAUUCACAAGUAGUGGAUGUGAAAGAAGAUUUUAUAUAGGACCGCCGCACUAUUUCAGCAUGCCGUAUUGAAUAACAAUAAAUCUUAUAAGCGAAAUUAAUGAAGAAUCUUAUAAUCCUAUUUAUUUUAGAAUCUGCUUUUCUAUUAUAUGUCUUCUUUUUUGCCCCCCCGCCCCUCCCCUCUUUUUUUUUGCUAGUCCCAACGAUUUUGAAAUAUUAACUGAUUCCCACUGGUUGAGAUAAGGAUAAUUUUUAAAAACCUCCCUGAAGUUUGAGGUUGUUGCAAGUAGACCGUCAAAAUUAUUUUAUUUAUAAAAAAUCUCAAACCGUCAGUUAAAUUUUUCUUAACUAGUAGUUGACUUUGAAAAGAUAAAAUUAUCCUUAAUGACAGUGCAAUCCUUGGCGUGAAAAUCACCGUUCUAUUUUUUAACAUUUUUAGUUACAAUGUCUCAAGUAACUAAAAAAUUUAUUUUAUCCUAUUUAAAUUAUCAAGAUUUCCUUAAAAUCCUAAAAAAAAGAAAAAAAUUGAAGAAAUAGCAACUACUACCAAUCCCAUCAUCACCCAUUCAAUUUUUUUUUCUAGUCAAUUUCUUCAAAAUUGAUAAAAAAACAUUCUUCAUCAUAAUCUACAUUCAGCAACAUCAUCAAGCCUAUAACUAUACAUCGCCUAAUCCAAAGCAUUAAAGACGAACAAGAAAAGAGAGUUAUGUGAUAUGUGAUCGUAGAUCACAAUCUAAAGAUCAGAUCAGGCCACUCUCAAACUUCCACGUCAACGUCCUUCUUGACCGGAGAGCAAAUGAGCCAUGUGAAACCACAUGGAUCCUUGACCUUUUCCACGUGCCCAGCCGCCCACAACAAUACGCGCUGUUGCCUUUAGCAAGCUUACCCUCAUCAACAAUUCCAGCACUCACAGCCUUGGCGAGGGCAGCCUCAACAUCAUCAAUCUCCAAGCAGAGGACGCAUCCGAUUCCCAUAUUCUUAGCUGCAGCAGAAUCAUCGGAAAAGUCAGAGACAAGAAAAAUGGAGCCAGCAAUCUCGAGUUGAGCUCUUGUUCAGCCUUUCGUUUGGUUUCCAUGUUGCAGUUGAUCUCCACAGCACCAAACGCUGUCUUGUAGAACUGAACAGCGUCAGCAACCUUCGAUGCUUCCACAAGCAACUGCGGCUUCAUCCCAUGAAGUUGGCCAAGGUAGCAGGAGCAGUCAUCUUCACGGUGCAGUUCAGAACAUCAGCCAUUGAGAGAGUUUUGGUGUCUAGACAAAGGGAAAGAACCUGAACUUAGGAGAGAGAAAAUCAAAGAGAGAGAAGAAAGAUGAAACCAAAGAGACGAAAUAAAAGAAAAUGAACUUCACCCAUUUUGAUACAGUGUUAAAGGCAAUAAAACGAUAACUCUUUGAUAACAAUACAAAAUAUCAAUAAUGCCCUCAAUUAGUCAAACGGCAACCAAACGGAACUAAAAUGUAACGGAUCUUUUACAACUAAAACGAUUUUGGCCAUCUACUUAUAACAGCCUCAAAUUUCAAGAAAUAGGGAUGGCAAUGGGGCAGAUAUGGGUUGGAUCUACUCUGCUCCAGAUCCAAAUCCAUAAUAAAAAUCAAGAUCCGUAUCUGCUCCAGAUCCGUUAUGAAUCCAUAUUUUUCGCUCCAUAUCCAAAUCCAAAAAAGAAAUAAAUAUCUAUAUCUGCUCCAAAUCCGAAAAAAAAUUAAAAUCCAAAUAUGCUCUAGAUCCGUCAUGAAUUCUAAAAUUCCGUAAUAAAAAAGUAAUAAUUUUUUAGAUUGAAAAUUGAAGGCUAAAAUGUAUUGAUAACAAAUAAAUUAUAUAAUUUUUCUCAAAAAUAUAAUAAAUAUUGUAGCUUAUACUUCUAUACCAAAACAACAAACAAGAAUGAUAAUAAAAUAUCAUUCAGAAGUAAUUGCAGGAGUAAGAUCAAUCUAAUAUUCUAUUGUCUCCUUCAUCAUUCUAGUAUCCACGAUACACCUACCCUCAUUUCUACAACAUUAGAUAAUGACAUAUAAAUUAAAUAUGAUUUAUAUUCAGUCCUUUAUUAUUUUUAUUAUGACCAUAUUUGACUAAAUAUAUGAAUAACUAUAUUCCUUAAAAAUUAUUUGGCCAAUAAGAUAAAAUAAAUUACCAGGUUAUAUUACUUGGAUUGCAAUUUGAAUAUUGCAUGUACAUGCUUUGAGGCUGGUUGAUCUUUAAAUUUACAAAACUAACCUUUAAGUUUUAAGAGUUUAAAUUCAUGAUAAAUACUACUAAUAUGCUAUGAAUAAAAUUUAUUAUCAUUAUCAUUCCACAAUUAUUAAGAAACUUUUAAAAUAAAAUAAAAUUAAAAGAUGAGUGGAUAUGGAUAUGGAUUUAGAUAUUAAGAUAGAUCUAUAUCUGCUCCAGAUCCGUCUUAGAUCCGCACAUCGAUAUCCAAAUCCGAUCCAAAUCCAUUUUAAACCGAUCCAAAUCCGAUCCGAUUGGAUUUGGAUCACAUGAAUCUUGGAUCAAAUCCAAUCCAUUGCCAUCCCUAUCCAGAAAGAUUUUUAAAAAUUACCCGUUGAGAUAACGUUCAUUAAUGGUAUUAGAUUCGGAGCAGACUGCAGACUCAGAAUUUUUUUUUUAGAUAACGUUCAUUAAUGGUAUUAGAUUCGGAGCAGACUGCAGACUCAAUAACUUUUUUUAAAAAAAAAAAAAUUCUGGAGAUUAACAACUUUAUUAAUUAUUCUUCGUACAUAAAUUUUUAGCCUGGAUUAGAUUUAUUUCAAUGGAAUCAGCUUUUCAUUGAAGAAAAUAAAGAUUGACGCGGGGGCGGAGGCCAACCAAUUUUUGGCAUCAGGUUCAACAACUUUAUUCUUUAUGCAGAAACUUUUAGCCGUCUGAUUAAUUUUAUCAUACAUUGAUAUUCGGUCGUUGGAUUAGAUCUAUUUCAAUUACGUGAGACAUAAUUAGCUUUUAAUUAAAGAGAAUAGAGAGUGACGCCGGGACCACCAAUUUUCUUUCCUGACUUUUGUCUAAAAAUUAUUGUGAAGUGCUUAUCUUAACCGUUGACCUGAAUCUAAUCAGAGGGCUAAAAAUUUGUGACUAGGUAAACAAACAGGCACCCAAAGUUCCAUUUAAGAUCAAUCGGAAAGAAAGUGAGCGAGCAUAAUCACAGAGAGAAAAACCUUGUUGAUUUUCCUUAAUACCUUUUCUUCUAAACCCCCCCCCCCCCCCCCGCCCCGGGGGAAAAAAACAAUAACAACCAAAAAAUAAAAAAUAAAAUAAAAGACACGCACAAACACAUUUUUUUUUUUCUAUAGAUUUCAGUUUUCUGUAGAUUUAUCCUGCCAACAUUUUUUCAUAGUCAUUUUCUGUCAAUUCUUGUCGUCCUUCCCAAAAAAAAAAAAUGUCGAUCGUUGGAGAAACCAUUCUAACUGUCACCAUUGAGAUGUUGGUGAAAAGUUGAUAUCAGAUGUGAUUCAGCUGUUCGCACGCCAAGAACAGAUCCAAGCCGCUCUUAAGGAUUGGAAGAAGAAACUGGGGAUGAUCAGGGCGGUGCUCGACGACGCCGUUGAGCAGCAGACAACGAAGCAGUCAGUGAAGACGUGGCUGGGCGGACUUGAGAGCUUAGCUUAUGACGUGGAAGACAUAUUGGACGAGUUUGCAGCUGAGGCUUUGCGGAGGAAGUUGGUUUUCGAACCCGACGAUCUCGUUCAACCUCGUGCAGGUUACUUGCGGAAACUCAUUCCUACCUGCUGCACUAAAUUCAGUCCGCAAAAUGUGAGGUUCGAUUCCAAGAUGGCGGCGAGGAUAGAGGAGAUUACUGGCAGAUUCCAGGACAUCGUAGCGCAGAAAGACCUGCUGGAUUUGAAAGAAAAUUCAGGAGGAAAGUCCAACAAAUUAAGCAGUCGUCCAGAGACCACCAGUUUGGUGAUUGAAGCCGAAGUACAGGGCAGAGAAGAAGAGAAGAAAGCAAUAGUGGAGCUGUUAUUGAAAGAUGAUUUAAGUUCUGCUGGUAGAUUCUCCGUUAUUCCUAUUGUAGGCAUGGGAGGGCUGGGGAAGACAGCUCUUGCCCAACUUGUCUACAAUGACCCAACGGUGGAAAGCCAUUUUGACUUCCAAGCUUGGGUAUGUGUCUCAGAAGAUUUCGAUGCUGUCAGAGUGACAAGAGCCAUUCUCAACUCUCUGCAAAUUUGAAAUUGGAUGUAAAAAAGUGGUGUGGAGAAGAAGAAGUGCAAUGGUUCUCAGCCCACAGAAUUCACAGGUUACAAAUGAUAUGUCAAAUCGAGUGUUCCUAAGAGGGAUACUCCAGGAAGAGUUACCAAAUUUAGAAGAAGUGUCAAUUAAAAACAACGAAGAGCUAACAUGCUUAUGGCGGGCAGGACAUGGAUUACUGCAAGACAUUGGUUCCCUUCACCAAUUGAAGAUUGCGAGUUGUCCCCAACUUGUUUCCUUGGUGGAGGAGGAAGAAAAAGGCCAACAACAGCAAGGGUUGCCAUGCAGACUUCAGGUUCUGGAAUUAAGGAGCUGCCCAAGACUGGUGAAGCUACCACAAGCAUUUCUCAGCUUUAGUUCACUUCGGGACUUGAAGAUCUCAGACUGUGAUUCAAUGGAAGCUUUACCGGAUGCGCUGAUGCACAAAGGUAAAGCACCGCUUGAAAAGUUAAUCAUUUCUGGUUGUCAUACUCUGUAAUACAUCGCCAGGGCCCAGCUACCUCCUAGUCUUAAGAAGCUGAGGGUCUACUAUUGCAACAGUCUUAGGACGUUGGUAGAUGAAGAUCAAAUUUUAGACAUCAAUAGUUGCGGUGGGUACACCUCUGUUCUUGAGCAGUUACAGAUUAUUCAUUGUCCAUCUCUGACAUCCUUAUGGUCAAAAAGCGAGCUACCCGCCACGCUUGAAAAUAUUUAUGUUGAUCGUUGCUCGAAGCUUGCUUUCUUGUCAUUGAGAGGCAAUCUAUCGAAGGCUCUUAAGCACCUUUAUAUUGUUAGUUGCUCAAACCUGGAGUCAAUAGCAGAAGGGUUGGACGACAACACAUCUCUUGAAACUAUGGAAAUUUUUAUUUGUCAAAAUCUGAAAGUUUUACCCCAUAACUUGCACAAGGCCCGCCAUCUUCGACUAUUGAGGAUAAAUGAAUGUCCAAAUCUUGUUUCCUUUCCAGAAGGAGGGCUGGCGCCUUUUAGUAAACUGACUACGCUUGAGAUAUUUAAUUGUGAGAAACUGAAGGCCCUCCCCAACGGCCUCCGCAAUCUCACAUCUCUUCAAUACUUAUUAAUACAAGAUUGUCCAAGCAUAGGAUCUUUCACUGCGAAUUGCUUUCCCACCAACCUUACUUCAGUUCGUAUUGACUAUGAGAAGAUUUAUAAGCCAUUGAUAUUGGAGCGUGGCCUGGGAUUGCACAGAUUCACCUCUCUUAGACAACUCACGCUAUUUGGAGGAGAAUGUUGCAGCUUGGUAUCAUUUCCACUGGAGAAAGAUACAGGAAAGGCACUUCCUGCCUCUCUAAAGCAUCUGUCUAUUUGGAAUUUUCCUAAUUUGGAACGCAUAUCCUCAAUUGAAAACCUCACUUCAUUUGAAUCUCUUCAGCUCUGUUGUUGUCCAAAGCUCCAGGAGUUUCCAGACAAUGGCCUGCCUAUCUCACUUUUGAGACUAGAAAUCUAUGGAUGUCCGUUGAUUGAAGAAAGGUUCGAGAAGGAUAAAGGACAAUAUUGGUCCUUGAUAGCCGAUAUACCUUGUGUCCGGAUAGAUUGCCAUUAUGUGUGAUAGAUCCCAAAGCACAGAGACAACUGUAUCCUGUUUAAAUUCACAAAAUCCAAUCCCAGGUAUGUGUAGUUAGGGAUGGCAAAAAUUCUCACGGGACGGGUAGUCUCGGGGAUUUUUCCCAUUCGGGGAGGGUAUGAGGAUAAUUUCAUACCCAAUUUUUUAUUCGGGGAAGGGACAAGGAAAUUUAAUUUCUUAUUCGGGGAGAGGACGGGGAUGAGGUGGAAUCCCCAUCCCCUACCCAUUUCCCCAUUUUAAUUUUUAAUUUAAUUUUUAUUUUUUAAAAUUACUAGUAAAUAAAUAAUAAAAUUUGAAUUAUAAAAUUAUUAAAAUUGGUAAAAAUAACAAAUAGCAAAAUAUUUAUAUUAUUAAACUUUUAGGCCUAAUUAACUAAUUAAAGUCCUAAAUUUUUAUUUAGGACAUUAAAAAGACCAGAUAGAUUCUAUUAGCCCAAAAAUUUUGUUUUAAUUUUAAAAUUCAUUAAAUAUUUUAAACUUAAAUCUAUUUUUUUAUUUAUUUUUAGAUGUUAUAAUUGUCCACAGCGAAUCACAAUUUUAAUAUCUAAUCUAAUAUUUUCUCUUGAUUUGCUCCGACUUAACUAUUGUGUUGUAAAGGAAAUAGUCCACAUUUAUAAAGUGCCCACGCCACCAUUGAAAAAGUUAAUUUUGAAUCUAAAUUUGAUUUUAUUUGUAACAAUUUUGUAUUACACUGUUAAUUUGUUCAUGAUAGUUUGUAAAAGAAGUUUGUAUCCAUUGCAUGCUGCGUUACUUACUAAUUUAAUGUAUGUGACUUUUGUAAUGAAUAUUAAUGUAAGAUAUAUUUCGAACUUUACUUUUAUUUGAAUUUUUUUAUUUUAAUAUGAUUAACUUAAAAUCGAAAACAAAAAAAUGUAUUAGUUAUUCGGGGAUCGGGGACCUUCGGAGAUCCCCUGUUAUUAUUCAGGGAGGGGAUGGAGAUUCUCUCAAAUAAUUCUGACGGGACGAGGAGGGGACGAGGACAUACGCAAAAUAUCGGGGAUGGGUACGGGGAGAUUGAUCCCCUCCCCUCCCCUCCCCAUUGCCAUCCCUAUGUGUAGUUAAUAAAUAUCCAACCAAUUACAAUUAUGUUUUAAUUAUAUUUCUUUCUUUUUAAAAAAUUAAAUCUCAUGGAUUCUUCUUUUUCUUGAUGUUCUGAUCAAGAUCCAAACAGCUGAUUACACAAUUCCCCACCUGCUCGUUUCUUUCUAUAUCAGCUUAUCAAGGCAAUUUUUUAUUUUUCUCUUUUCAUGGUGAGAAAUACUUUUAUUUAUUAUUCUUAUUUUGUUUCUUUUCUUGACAAUUGACAAAGCUGAGCUACAUCUAAGUCAUUUUCCUUUAUGAUGCUGACCACUGAUGGUUGAUGUUAAGGAAGCUCACAUUUGCAAGAUUAUCAGCAAAGCAGAGGAUCACAGCAACAAUCAUAUGCAGUUACGAGUUGAUGACAUGGCAUGCCAGCUGGAGCCUGGUGGCUAUGUAAUCAGUUAUGCAUGUAUCAAUUAGCUAUAAGCUGUUAUAGUUAGUUGAAAGGAUUAGUUAAUAAUUUGUUGCUAAUUACAACUAUUUGUGCUGAGCUUCAGCUUAGUAUAAAUAACAACAGCUUUGUACAUAUCAUUAAUAAUGUGAUUAAUGAAAUUUAGUUUCUAGAAAACACUCAGAUCUAGUUCAUAUUUUCUUAGUUGCCAAACACGUUUUUCUCGUUCUUCAACUUGGUAUCAGAGCUAGUAACAAUGGCUUCAGUCCAUCUAGCUUCUUCUUCUUCUUCUCAAGCGCCAAUUAAUCAAACAACUGUUAAUUCAACAAAUAUGACAUUCACUUUCAAUACACCUAUCAAGUUAGAUCAAUCCAAUUAUUUGAUUUGGAGAUCUCAAGUUCUUGCUUCAAUUCGCGGCAACAGACUUGAGAAAUUCAUUGAUAACUCAACCACUCCACCUCCUUCACACAUUGCUCAGAGAAUUGAAGAUGAUCUAAGAUCUGUAGAAAAUCCAGAAUUUGCAACUCGGAGAUCACAAGAUCAGGUGCUGCUUGGCUGGUUACCUUCUUCAAUGAGUGAAGGAAUCAUCAGUCUAGUCUUCAAUCUAGAGACUUCUCGAGAGGUAUGGAAAGCUAUAGAAGUUCAAUUUGGAUCUCAAUCUAAAUUUAGACUUCUGCAUUUACGAUAUAUGAUGAAUUCAACUAGGAAAGAUGAUCUGAAAAUUACUGAUUACUUCAUUAAGAUGAAAAGUAUUGCUGAUAAUAUGGCUGCAGCUGGUAGUGCGUUAAGUGAUGAUGAUUUGAUUUUGCAUGUACUCUCUAGCUUAGGUCCAGAUUAUAACUCUGUUGCUACCUAUAUCACUGGACAAGUAGGAGUAGGAAAAAUGAAUGUAAAUGAAGCUUAUACUAUGCUUCUAACUCAAGAAGCUAGGAUUGAACAACAAACUCAUAUGCUAGCUAAUACUGAUGUGAUACAAAACUUUGAGGCUAAUCUUGCCUAUAACAAAGGUUAUAAAAUGGGAAAUAUGUCAGGAGGAAGAGGUUUUGGUAGCUUUGGAUAUAAUUCUGGUUAUGGAAACAGUGGAAACAGUAACAGUAAUGGUUACAAAGGAGGUUAUGGAGGCUCUGGAUUUAAUGCUAAUAGUGGAAAUGCUUAUGGAUCUAACAAUCAGUUCAAGGCUUAUCAAGGAGAUAAUCAGAGAGGUGGAGGAGGAGGUAACUAGAACCAGAAUGCUGGAAAUAGAGGAUUUAACAAUAGCAGACCACCUGGAAACACUAAGCCUCAAUGGAAUGUCUCUAAGCCAACCUGUCAAAUCUGUUGUAGAACAGGCCACACUGCAAAUAUUUGCUGGAAACUUGAGGAAUUCAUGGCAUUUGGAGCUUACAGACCACCACCAAACAGAAAUCCAAAAUCUGCAUAUUUGGCUAAUAUGGAAGGCCCCGCUGAUACUAACUGGUAUUUGGAUAGUGGUGCAACACACCAUCUGACUAAUGAUAUCAACAUGCAUGUUUCUGAAGCUUUUACAGGUAUAUCUAAACUUGUUGUUGGCAAUGGUGCUGGAUUGGAUAUAACACUUAUUGGAAGUGCUGCAUUGAAAUCACAUAACUCCAAUAAUGCCUCUUUAACUUUUAAACUAAAUGAUAUCCUUUUAGUGCCACAAAUUACUAAAAACCUUAUCAGCAUCUCUAAACUCACAAAGGAUAAUGAUGUUGUGAUUGAGUUUACUAAUAAUUUCUGUUUUGUGAAGGACAAUGUGAGAAAUUUGAUCAUAUUGCAGGGCAAAGCUGAAAAUGGUCUAUACAAAUUGCUAUUGGUAAUAGGAAUAGUGUACUGCUGAAGAAGAUUGUACUGAAAUUCAGAAGUUUUGGAUGGAGAAGAAGAACUGAAAAUUGAGGAAUAUGGAAAUGAAGUUUCAUAAAAAACAACAUGACUUGCUAUAUAGAUUUUUCCAAAAGAAUGGAGACAUUUAAAACCCUUAUGCAAAGGACUAUACCCCAGAAAAAUACAUUUGGAUGUAUGAGACUGAAAUUUGUGUUGAUUAUAACUUCUAAGGAAGGGAAAGCAUGAACAUCCAAAUGUUCUCAAGAAUUUGUAAUCUGGAGAGAUGUGAAAUAUAGACUCAUAAGGAGAUUUCAUUGACUGAACUGGUGUAGGCAAUCUGUUUAUAAGGUAUGUGGCUGUAUGAAAAGACUCCCACCAGAAUUUAAUGGGUAGGUUUGCUUGUGCAAGUAGAGUAAGACCAAGUUCUGUAAUAUGCCUAUGCUUUCUCUCUACAAUUCCAUUUUGAUUGUGAGUGUAUGGACAUGAAUGUCUGAAGUGUAUGCCCUCUGUGUGAAGGAGGUUAACAAAGGAUCGAAAUUCUCCCCCCCAGUCUGAUUGAAGACAUUUUAUGGGUUUGUCAAGUUGUUUUUCUAUCUGGUUUUUGAAAAUUUUAAAGACUGAUAGUGUUUCACUUUUGGUUUUCAAAGGAAAGAUCCAAGUAAAUCUUAUGAAAUCGUCAACAAAGCUUAUAUAAUAUAUGUAGCCUUGUGAUGAAAUCACAGGGGCUGGUCCCCAUAAAUUAGUAUGCAAUAUUUCCAGGGGAAACUUUGUUUUGAUAUCAGAAGCUGGAAAAUGAAGUUGGUGCAUUUUUCCUAUUUGACAAGCAUCACAGAAAUUAAAGGUUGUAUUCUUAUUGUCAAGAAUGAAAGAUGAACAUGUUUUGAUUACAUGAUUCAAAAUCUUAGAAGAUGGAUGUCCCAAUCUCUGAUGCAAUACAGAAGUACUUAACAAACACUCAGAGUUUUUACAAGUAGCUGCAGUAGGCAGACAGGAGGUUUUAUUUGAAAAAAUAGAAUUGACAACUGAAAACAUUAAAAGAGGAGAAGUUGAUACAACUGACUCAGCAACAAAGUUUUGACUAUAAGCAGAAGAGGCUGUCUUAUUAGGUGAAACCAAUAGCAAUUUGUAUACCUUUGAAGCUGAAACUGCAGGUAAUGAUUCACAUUCUAAUCACCUUGGUCCUAUAUCUUCACCACUCUCUCACAACACCAUCCCAACCCUCACCACCAGCUGUUGUAUCUCAGCAAUCUAUACCUUCUUCACCAACUCAGCUCAAUCUUCCUAUACUUCUACCUGAUACAACACAAAAUACAUUAUUCUCCCAACCUCCUAUAUCUCACUCUCUGAUUCAACCAACCCACUCAUCUCAACCUAAACCAAAUCUCUCCACACAUAAAAUGAUCACUAGAGCAAAGGCUGGCAUAUACAAACCAAAGGCCUACCUAACAGAUCAUAAUAGCCUGGAACCAUCUACAGUUUCAGAAGCAUUAUCUGAUCCCAAAUGGAAAGCAGCAAUGCAGACUGAAUACCCUUAUGCCUAUGUGCCCAUCCUACAAACUAGUUGGGUGCAAAUGGGUGUUCAGAACCAAGUACAACACAGAUGGCUCAGUUUCAAAACAUAAAGCCAGACUGGUAGCCAAGGGAUUUCAUCAAACUGCAGGUAUUAAUUAUUCUGAAACUUUUAGUCCUGUAGUGAAGUCUUCAACAGUAAGAUUGAUUCUUAGUCUAGCUGUCAUGAACUGUUGGAAGGUCAGACAAAUUGAUGUGAAUAAUGUCUUCUUAAAUGAGGAUUUGUCAGAGGAUGUGUAUAUGGUUUAGCCUGAGGGUUUUGUGUCCAAAGAAGGCUACAUAUGCAAGCUUACCAAGGCUCUAUAUGGAUUGAAACAAGCUCCAAGAGCUUGGUAUGAUAAACUGAAAGGCUGUCUUACUGCCUGGAAUUUCAUCAAUUCAAAGGCUGACACAUCUCUUUUUGUUAAACAUGAUGAUAAGGGCAUUAUUAUUAUCUUGGUCUAUGUUGAUGAUAUUCUGGUUACUGGUCCUGACUCAGCAUUACUUGAAGAAUUUAUCACUAAACUAAGUAAGGCUUUUGCUCUCAAGGAUCUGGGUUUGAUAGCUUAUUUUCUUGGAGUGGAAGUAUGUUACACAACUCAUGGAAUGCAUCUGUCACAGACAAAGUAUAUUAAAGAUCUGAUCAGCAAAGCUUCAAUGCAGAAUUGCAAAGGGUCAGAUACACCCUUCAGUACUGGAUUUAAACUAGAGAAAAAUGUUCAAGGUCCUCUGGGACAAGAAUUUGAAGAACCAGCACUUUAUAGGAGCAUUGUUGGAGGGCUUCAAUAUUUGAUUCUCACCAGGUCUGACAUUGCUUAUUCUGUACACAAACUCAGCCAAUAUCUCAAUACUCCUACACUUCAGCACUGGCUGGCAUGCAAGAAGGUUCUCAGAUAUCUUCAAGCCAUAACUACUCAUGGUUUAUACAUUCAAAAGGAAGGGACACUUGGACUUGCAGGUCUAACAGGAUACUCUGAUGCUGACUAGGCAUGUGAUGUUGAUGAUCGAAAGUCUAUUGGAGCUUACUGUAUUUACCUUGGUAAUAAUCUGAUCUCCUGGUCUUCAAAGAAGCAAGCUAUAGUAGCUAAGUCAAGCACUGAAAGUGAAUACAGGGCACUAUCUUCAGCAAGUUCAGAGCUUUCAUGGUUGCAAUCUCUGUUGUCAGAACUUAACAUUGUUCAGUUACCUACUCCAAUUCUUUGGUGUGACAAUCAAAGUGCUGGAGAGUUAGCUCGAAAUCCUAUUCUUCAUUCUAAAUCCAAACACAUUGAAUUGGAAAUUCAUUACAUUAGAGAUAAAGUGCUUGGAAAAGAAUUAGAAAUAAGAUAUAUUCCUACAGAAGAACAAGUUGCUGAUGUCCUUACUAAAGCUUUGUCAUUUCCCAAGUUUAACUAUUUUAGAUCCAAGCUCAAUGUCAUCAACAGGCCAUUGAGCUUGAGGGGGGAUGUUAAAGAAGCUCACAUUUACAAGAUUAUCAGCAAAGCAGAGGAUCACAGCAACAACCAUAUGCAGUUACGAGUUGAUGACAUGGCAUGCCAGCUGGAGCCUGGUGGUUAUGUAAUAAGUUAUGCAUGUAUCAAUUAGCUAUAAGCUGUUAUAGUUAGUUGAAAGGAUUAGUUAAUAAGUUGUUGCUAAUUACAACAGCUUUGUACAUAUCAUUAAUGAUGUGAUUAAUGAAAUUUAGUUUCUAGAAAACACUCAGAUCUAGUUCAUAUUUUCUUAGUUGCCAAACACGUUUUUCUCGUUCUUCAACUGUUGGAAGUCAACUAUUGUAUAGUAAGAUGAUUUGAAACUUCUUUUAAAACUUCUCUGUCAUCUAGCUUAGAGAACUUGACUGUCCACCAAGAGUCUGGAGUCACCUGUUGCAUCUCAAGUUGAUUUGGUAUUUGUUAUUUUUAAUGAGGAAAUACUUUGCUAGAACUUUCAGAUUGAACAUUGCAGGUAGGAUUAUUAUUCAAGUCGUGACCUUCGAGAACUUGUUGCAGUUGAAUGUUUUUUUUUUUUUUUUGGGGGGGGUGGGGGGGUAAUGACAAAAAUUAUUAAUGUUUAGGAACAACUCUUUAGGGGAGAAGCAUAUAUAUCUGGCUGGCAAUUUUGGCAUAUUCAACUGUUGAUAGUAGAAUGGAUGUAUGGAGGGUUGACUUCAGUGACCACAAUUAAUUAUGUCAUUGUACGGUUAAAUGGUUGCAUUAUGAAAAGCAGAGAUGCGUUAGAAAAUGACAUGGCCUUUGUCAUGCUUAAUCUGUGCCUAUGCAGCUAUUGUAUUAUCUUGGUUAACCUGUGCCUUUUUAAUUCUUGUACUAUGACUGCCUGGUCCUAAGCAAUAUUGAUGGAAAUGACAUCCAGCUUGAAGUUUAUGUAAAUCUUUCAAAAUAAAUUCUGAAUACCCUUGGAUUUGGUGUGUACAAAGUCAAAGAAUCCAUUUAGCUGGUCCUACAAGUUUUAGACUUUGCAGGGAGGCUUCAGAUUUAUAAAUAUGUAACAAAAAAGGUGUAGACUACAUAAAAAGACUUAAAAAAAAAGUGUAUAGAAUUAUUAGCUAUGCUUAGAUAAAUUCCCGGUAAUUACCUUUCUAGUAUUACUUUUUUUCUUGUUGUUUCUUUGAGAUAUUUCAAGAAAUAUACAAUAUAUGCAAACAUAUAACUUCUUGAAAUUUGUAAUUAUAGGAUUCUGUUGACUGGUUGGUUCUAUACCUCUUUGUGGGAAUGGGCGAAACAUCUUGAUACCUUUACCAAGAUCAGUUAGUGCUGAGGUUUUGGCUAUUACUGGAGCUGGCGUGUGACUGCAUGAUCAAGAUGCGUCAAACCUUCCACUGUUCUAUUGGUUUGCCUUUAUCAUUCGGAAUCCAAGUUUGAUAUUAACAGAGAUCACAUCAAUAAUAUCCUAUUUGGGUAGAUGUGGGUGAGGAUUUAAAAUCAAAUUUGAAAUUGAGAGGAAAGAAAAGGAGCCACAAUAAUUAAACAAAAUAAUUCUGAUGAGUUUUAAUCUCGAGGAACAAUUUUCAAAUGCAAAUUUAACUGCUAGAGAAAUUGUAGCUUUUUGUCAUUAGUUAAAAGGAAAAAGAAUAAGAACUAUCCGGCCCUUUCCUUCAUGAAUGUGUUGAGGUUGCUGUAUUAUUUAGUCAGUAUUUGUAAUUUUCUUCCCUGCAGUGCUCUCUGCUUCCUGAAUUUGCUACUGAGUCCAUAUUUUUCUUUGAGCUUUUGCUUCCUAUUGCUGUUACAGGUGCAAAUCUGGGCAAGCAAUAAGAUACACCGGGAGGAAAGGUCAUCAAUGCGAAAAUGGGAUGUCCGAUCCCUCAUCACAUCUUCUUCAGAUUUGUAUGGUCCAGAAAAGUCUGCUAGUGUUGAAAAAUUACCUAGGCAUGUAAAAUUUACUUUUAAGAAUCCUGUUAGGUGCUGCAUUAUUUGGAUCACAUUACAUCUUCAGAGACCUGGUUUGGGUUCAGUUAAUUUCGGGAAGGACUACAGCAUUUGCAGAUGAACCUUCAGAACAAGAUGAUUCAGGAUUGAGAGCUCCACUUGUGGCCACAGGUUUGUCUUUGUCAAACAGAAUCAAGUUAUAUUAUUAUUGUGAUCCUUAUGAGCUCGGAAAAUGGGCAAGCCUUUCUGGAGUUUGAUCGUUAUUUAUAUGUCAGAGAAAGAGUUUUGGGUUUGAUUUUGAUUUGUAAUUUUUGUCAGUUUAUUGAAAUUUUGUUGUUGUAUAAAAGCAGAAUGUAAAGGUAUAAAAAUUCAUUGAUGCUGUAAUGUCUGUACUUUUGAGAAAGAAGAAUUCAAUGUCUUUUCUAUGCCAUUGGAUUUUCCACUGCUGGUAAAACCUGAGCUGUCGAAUGCUCUGUGAACCUUAAGGGCUAGAAAGUAAUUUUCUUUUUUUUUUAAUUCUUUUAUAUACAUAUUAUUAUUGAUAUUACAUUAGACAUUACAAUUACAAUAUUUAUAAUCGUACUAAAUAACUGAGACCAACGUCAUACAUUAACUCACGCCAUACAUUAACUCACUGAAGCACUUGUCCAAAUACUUUAAACCUCUCUAAUAUUCGAGGAGUGUCUACUCUAUUCACAUUUUGUUAGGGAGAGACUGUCUCUACUCAAUUAGUUGAUAAUUAAGAAAGAAUUGAAACUAACCUCCAUAAUGUUCUUAUGAAAGCUCGAACUCUUGCACUCAACAUUAUAAGUGCAAGGUUUCUACCAUUGAACCAAAGACCCAUUGGUGGCUAUAAAGUAAUUUUCAAGAGUGAAGGAUUUAUUAAUCGAGUUCAAAAGAUUGCAAGCUGGUGAGCGUUGGCAUUUAAAAAUCAAUUGUUAUCCUCUCAAUAAUCUCUCUCUUCUGCCGACACCCGAAGCUCAGAAACCCGUUGUUCCGACGGACGUGUAACACUUCCAGAAAUUAGCCUUUUCUUCUAUAUGAAGGUUGAUCUCUCCUCCUGCAGUGUUUUCUUUUUCGAGUGAAGGUGGUUUUCUACUUACAUAUGUCGGGGGUCUUACAAUAUCUAAUGUGUGAAAUUUCUUUCUCAUUUUACCAUAAAGAAAAUGUCAGUAAUGAUUUAAAGCUCGAGUCUUAAAUUAUCUUAAAUUAAGAAUCUCUCAUUACAUUGUCAACCAAAAAGACACUUACAUAAGAAGAAGAAUUUGUCAGUUUGAUUUUAUUUGUAGAUCCAACAUUUCUCAUAUCCUGAGUGCCUUUCCGUAUCAAAUUAAAAUAGUAGUAGCAAAAUCGUAGUGCACAUUUAAUUAACCAACUAAUAGUCUAAGCAAAGAGAGGAUUACAAGUUCACAACACCAUUACAAAGGAUUCAAAAUCCCCGCACGAAAACAUCAAUGUACAGUUAUAAACAACCCGAAUUGGACACAAGAAAAACCCUUCAAUGGAUUGUUUGCCUUCCCAAUGCUAUAUACUGUGCAAACUGCGCACUGGCCAAGAAAAUGUUUUCAAUUUAGUGUACUUUCAAAAUGCUUAUUUUCUCAGAAUAUUAAAAAAAUAAAAAAAUAAAAAAAUAAAAAGAAUUCUUACAUGUUUCAUCAGCAUGAUUAAAAUCAAAGAAGAAAGCGAGACAUAAUGUCUCUGACAUAAUAAAAUUACAAAAAUUUCAAAAAAAAUGUUAAAACAUGUAAACAUGAAAGUAUUUUCAAAAGCAAAAUGGAAUACAUAGAUAAAACAUCAUCUUAAACAAAUCACAAUCUAGAAUUAGAGCAUUUUUGACAUACCUAAGGAAAAAGAAUACGUGAAAAUGGGUGACUCAUUUGCUAAGGAGUGUUGAUUUGAUUGGCUCUGCAAAUUCUCUUGGGGCUCAGUUCCAAUUCCUCUACAUCCAAAGUUCCACUCGCGCUUGGCAAAUCAUCCAAUUUCCAAACUUCGGUAGCAAAAUUGAUAGUAAAAGUGUUGUCUUUUGUUUCGCUGGGAUUUGCAUAUACUGGACAUAAUCCGCAACGUUUUAUCUUGUAAAACUUUCGCUCAGCGAAGAACUUAAAUGUGGCAAUUGUAUGAUGGUAACCAUCAGGAAACCCAACAUUCAAGCAAGGUUUAAAACCAAGUAUGACACGAUCUGAAUCAAUAAGGUCUUCAAUAUAGCGCGAAUUGUAACCCAGAUCAACAUGUUUGGUUUCAGAGAGAGUCUUUAUUUCUAAGUCGAAUUGAAAGCUGACGUAAAAAUAACGAAAACAAUCAGAAUCAACUUUCUUAGAAUCAAGAACAGCACAAAAAGCAAACCCGAUUAAGUUUCUGCAAGAAGAGUGCGGUGGCAGUUGAAUACAUAUCGAAGAUCCUGAACUUUGAUUGCUAAACCAGUCAGGAAUUUCGCUCCCAGGUAAAACAAUUAGGGAUCCCCUGAGUUCAGAAAGUUUCUGUGAAAGGACAUUUAAAAAAAGAAAAUUGUAAAAUGAAAACCAUUGAUUUCAGAUAUAAGAAAGAGGGACAGAGUAAACAAGAGAGGGAAUUUGAUACCUCGUUGAUUGCCAUUUCAUAGCCCAGUCUCAGUGAUGCAAUUGCCAUAUGCCGAAUUCUUAGUAGUGAAUCUGCCAAAAUCUUGUUGUUUGCUUUUCCAUUCAGUUUCAAGCAGUUAGUAAACUCAAAACAAAUUGCUGCUGACUUCAGAGAUUCUGGUGCCCAUUGAAGGUCAGGAGAGUGUUUGGAUAGCUUUUCGAGUACGGAUGCAUCUAGUUCUUGUAGACAUAACAGAAUCUCUGGCAAAGAUUGAAGCCGGUUGCAGUUCCUUACAGUUAGUAACUGUAGACACAAUGGAAGUUCUGGUAAUGACCGAAGCAUGUUACAAUCCUCCAAGUUAAGAUAUUGUAGACACAAUGGAAGUUCUGGUAAUGACCGAAGCAUGUUACAACCCGUCAAGUCAAGAGAUUCUAGACAAAAUGGAAGUACUGGUAAUGACUGAAGCAUCUUACAAUCAAUCAAGUGAAGAUAUUUUAGGCACAAUGGAAGUUCUGGUAAUGACUGAAGCAUAUUAAAAUCCUCUAAGUGAAUAAACCUCAGCUGCGACAUUUGCUUGAUAAUUGCAGGUAAACUCUCAAAGUUAUUUCCACUUAGAUACAAUAUUUCCAGUGAGGAUAGAUAGGCAAUCUCUUGUGGAAUUUCCCUUACAGCAUAGUCACUUAUAUGUAGAAGUCCCAUAGCAGAUAAACCUAAUAAAAAUGUUCGAGGAAAUGAUUCCAAACCUUUGCAGUGAGAGGAGUCAAGACUUCUAAGCAUGUUUGACAAUGCAACAGAGGAUGGUAGUUGACUAAUAGCUGAUGCAGCUGCUAAGAUGUAAUACAAAUAUUCUAAAGAGCCAAUGUUAUCCGGUAAAUUAUCAAGUUUAGAGCAAUCUUCUACGAACAAUACUUCAAGCCCCGGUAGAUUUUCAAAUGACGAUGGCAGCUCUGUAAUUGGCGUCCUGUCUGAAUAGAUGCGUUUUAAAUGUUCCAUUUUCUCCAAGAUUUCUGGGAAAUGCUCAAGGUUCAAGCAGCCAAGAAGAAUAAGCGUAACCAAAGAUCUCAAUUUACAAAAGCUUGUUGAAAUCCGCUUCAGCCGUUUGCAACCCCUCAAAUCCAACACUUCAAGAUCAGUUAGACACUCUAUUGAUGAUGGAACUUCUUCUAUUGCAGACUGGCCUAAGUAUAGCCGUGUAACUUUCCCAGAAAUUUGUGGAAACUCUAUGAGAUUAACACAAUAGGAGAAAUUAAUAGUUACUGGACAAACAAAAUGAAGAUUGCUUGGAAAAGACCUAAGACUUUGGCAGCCCUUAAAAGACAACGCACUGAGAUACUUGAAAUUCUGGAUAGAUGAGGGAACACAAGCCUUUUCUCCUUCCCAAGGUUGCUCAACUUUACUACAACGCAAAUUCAGUUCAACAAGGUUCUUUGGCUUGAAAUUUGAUGGCAGUGUCCUUAAUGGAUAUGUGUCCCAAUGAAGAUAUCUCAAUUUUUUAGGAAGAUAAUCUAGGCCAUUUGGAAGCUGCACUUUAGAGUAUGAAAGUUGCUCUUCAGUGCUCAU